AAACAAAUAGCCAAAUGAUUUGCAAGACUGAAGGAAUAAAGCCGUUGGGAUUUAAAGCAAAUAGGCUCCAAAAAUGAUUUGCACCUACGUCGCUGCUGGCUCCAAUGUAGGUCGUAUGGUUGAAUCACAUGAGUUGGUGGUCCAGCUACUGACUUGAGGUCCUCAUUAGGGUCCAAACACACCUAUUUCAUCAAUGUUCAAACAAUUAAUUUACUAAUUAGGGCGAAAGUUGUUGUUUAUUUACUAUAUUAAAUUGUAAGUCGUUUUGAUAAAUAGUUUCUUGAAGAAAAGACAGCUAAAAAAAAAAAAAAACUAAAACCCAAUGGAGUGGUGAACGACUAUGAUGGGUAAGUCGCCUAACUGUGCGCGCCAGAUGAUUAAAGGAAAGUAUCAAGAAAUAUUUUGUUUUGAUCAAAGAAUCCAAAAAUCGAUCUAAAUGGAAAUAAGUUGCAUAUGGUUUUUUUUUCCAUCUGGUUUUAUUAAUAACAUUGAAGGAUACAAGAGUCGAAUACAAAGCCGGCGGAACAUAGAAACAUCCCCGGAGACUAAACCCAAGAAGGGGAACAAGAACCCAAACAACCGGGCUGCAUACCAACAUCUGGAACUUAAACUUAAUACCUAUACUCCUUGUGAGAAACCCAAAGACAAUCUAUCAUAAAUUAAAGAACAGAGACUUAAUAGCCUAUAACCAGCCGGAAUUCUUGCAACGAACAAUACAUGUGACAAUUUGAGCAGAAACCUCAUCUGAACCUCAUAUUCACGAUGACAACAACCAACCUCUUCGACAACCUCAAGACAACAACCAGGAUGAAACAAACACCCACCAGAGCGCUUAACUCAACCGCACCAUAAGCUGGAAGCCUCCAUGUCUCCACCUCCAUGCUUCAAGCAAACAAAGCCAUGAGGAAGACAAAGACCAAAGGAAGACCAGGAGAAACACUAUUUUCAAGGCAGGAGACAGCCCCCGCUGAACCUGAGAGACAAAUAGGUGUUCUGAAAACAACCUAUUUCUCAAGGACCAUAACCACCAACUGCUGCUCACUACACACCACCACGUUACUGCUACACCGUUGCUAAAUCAAAGACCAACUAAGACCAGCUCAAAAACCAUGAUAGACAAGCAUGAUUCAACUCCUUGCCUGGAGAUACACACAGCUGAUGGAGGGACGACGGAACAGAACUGAAGAGCUCUCUCUGUUGAGACACCAAAGCUGCAACAUCAAGAGAAGUUGCAUAUGGUUUUCACUUAGAUAUGUUUCAAUUUUAUUCAGGAAACACAAAAAGGAUAAUUUUAAACCAUGAAGAAAAAAAGGUGCCCACACGCAGGAUCGAACUACGGACCUUCAGUUUACAAGACUGACGCUCUACCACUGAGCUAUACGGGCUUUGUUGGUCAUUUCAAUAAAUACCGUUUUAGUUCACAGCACAUCGAUCGAUAGGCCUGGGCAUUCGGAUCUUCGGGUCGGAUUCGGAUCGGGUCCUUUCGGGUCCGGGUCUUUCGGGUCUAAGAGUUUAGGACCCGAUAGGGUAAUUUCAAAUUUUCGGUUCCGGGUCGGUUCGGGUCGUGCCGGGUCCGGGUCGGGUCGGGUCUUAGAUAGUUAGACCCAUUCGGAUAAUUAGAAUUUAUCGGUUCGGAUUCGGUUCGGUUUCGGGUCGGGUUCGGUUCGGGUUCGAUCUAAAAAAGACCUAAAAAUACAAAAAAAUAUCUGAAAAUAUUUAUAUAUCCGAAAAUAUUCAAAAUUUUAUUCAAAAUUUGUGUUUUUAUUAUAUUAAAAUGUGUAUAUAUACUAAACUAUGCGAAAUACAACAACAAUUCGUUGUCUCCUAGUGGUUGACCCUUAUAUUCUCUAGAUAAAUAACCCGUCUUCGAUUCCCCCUUGAUGCAUUUUAUUUAAUUUACAUUAUUAAUUCGGGUACCCAUCGGGUUUCGGGUUCGGGUCGGGUCGGGUCCAAGACCCGCGGGUCCUCUACAACAAGACCCGAUAGGGUAAUUUGAUCGGGUCGGUUCCUACCCGAACCGGGUUUUUUGGAUCGGUUUCGGGUCGGGUCUUCGGGUCCGGGUAAAAUGCCCAGGCCUAUCGAUCGACAUCAAACACCGGUUGUGCGGUAUUUGAUUUAUAUGGGCCAAUACGUGAGGCCCAAUAGUUAUAUCUUCAAAACUAAGACCGUAAUAUCGCCUGGCCCGGAUCAAAUAAGCUCUGUUUGCCUUCCUUAUCCAGACAAGAUGUUACAAAGGGUAUUUAAGUAAAGUGCCUCAGACUGGAAACUUUCCGACAUUAAUGGCGGAAAGACAGAGAAUGAGAAGUUUAAAAAGAAUUUUGUUUUUUUUAAUAAUGAAAAUAAAAGACGAGAGAGAGAAGAGCGAAGCCACCUCUGAGAAGGGCUAGCGGGAUUACAUUUUCCUUCGCCCCCAGCUGCCUCUCUCGGCUCUCGUCUCAGCCCUCAAGGUGCUUCGUGUUGUUGCGAUCUCGGGGAGCUACACACUGAAUUAGGGUUGCUGCUGGGGGUACAUUUCUCUUGAUUUCUCUCGUCUCUGUGAAUUAUUCUUUCUUUUGGUUUCUAGUUUUAACUCAAAUGAGAAUUGCAUUCAGGGAAGAAGGAGAAGGAGUUGUUCAAAAAAAAAAAAAAAGGAAGAAGGAGAAGGAGAAGACAAUGGGGGUUAUGUCGAGACGGGUGUUGCCCGCCUGUGGUAACAUCUGUUUCUUCUGUUGUCCUUCCUUGAGGGUUAGGUCAAGGCAUCCUGUUAAACGCUACAAGCAAAUGCUCGCCGAUAUUUUCCCUCGUAAUCAGGUGUCUACUCUUUUAUAUCAAUUAAUCUUUGUUAAAAGUAUCAAUUUUUAUUUUAUUUUUGGUACUAGUGAAGAUCAUUUAGAUUCUUUAAGUGUAUUUUUCUUCUUCUUUACGUUUCUGUUCACUGAUUAUUUAGAGGGAUUCCAGCACUAGUCUUGUUGAAGUUUUAUACUUGUUGAUUACUAUUAACUUAGGCUGGAUAUAUUAUAUUCACUAUUGCGCAAAUAUCAUUUUUUACUUGAGAUUCUUAAUGAAUAUACAUAUGUUUCUUUAUAAGUUUCAACAUGUUGUGAUAUGGCAGGAUGCUGAGCCGAAUGAUAGAAAAAUAGGCAAGCUUUGUGAGUAUGCGUCAAGGAAUCCUUUACGAAUCCCAAAGGUGUUUUGCAUUUUUUUCCUCUCUUGUUUUAAUUUAAAAUUUAUCCUCAUGUGUAGCAGUCUUCUUCCCUUUUUUUUGACAGAUCAAUGAGUACCUUGAGCACAAAUGCUACAGAGAAUUGCGAAACGGGAAUAUCGGAUCAGUUAAAGUCGUCUUAUGCAUUUACAAGAAGUUGCUUUCAUCAUGUAAGGAGCAGAUGUAAGUUAGUAGUAUUAGCUUCUUCAUGAAUAAAACGUGGUUUCACAUAUUCUGGUUACUUAAAAGAACUAGUUUAUCAUUCUUUCUUUGUAGGCCUUUGUUUUCGUGUAGUUUGCUAACCAUUGUCCCAACUCUUUUGGAGCAAACGAAAGAUGUAGAAGUGCAGAUCUUGGGUUGCAAUACCCUUGUUGACUUUAUAACCUUACAGGUACAUUUGAGCUAUAUUUUAAGCACGGUUACAUACUUGUGAUGGUAACACAUUUGUCUAUAUAAUACAGACUGAGAAUUCACACAUGUUCAACUUAGAAGGUCUCAUCCCUAAACUUUGUCAACUUGCUCAAGAAAUGGGGGAUGAUGAAAGAUUACUCCGGUUACGGUCUGCAGCAAUGCAGGCUUUGGCAAUCAUGGUGAUUGUUUAUUAAAAUAUCCUAUAAAAAUGGAUAUGUGCAAUAUGUUACUAAUCACUAGUUAUUGCUAGGUAUCUUUCAUUGGUGAGCAUUCACAACUAUCAAUGGACUUGGAUAUGGUACGUCAUCGGUUGCUUUUUUUAACUUUUUGUCCUUCUAUUACAUCCUCUAGUUAGAUUAUGAUCCUUUUUUUUCAUCUUGAAUUAGAUCAUUUCUGUGAUUCUGGAGAAUUAUAUGGAUUUGGAGAAUGGCCAAAAAGAUACCAAUGAACUUAAUCCUGUGACUGACUAUAACUUGGAAAAAAACAUGUAAGGCUUGUCAGAACUUUAUUGUCACUUUCUUUCAAUGAAGUGCAUCAUGUUGAUUUAUUAGUUUAAUCAAUUCAGGGAGAAUUCGAAGAGCGCUUCAUACUGGUCUAUGGUUUGCCUCUGCAAUAUAGCAAAAUUAGCAAAGGAAACUACAACUGUUCGUCGUGUUCUGGAACCGCUUUUGAAUGCUUUUGACAGUGGUGAUUACUGGUCUCCACAGAAGAGCGUUGCCUCUUCUGUUUUGUUGUUUCUGCAGUCUCGUCUGGAAGAAUCAGGUGACCUGAGAUGAUAUUUAAUUUGCUGUCUUUCUGGAUUUUUAACUGACUAAUGAAGUGUUUAAAGCAGGAGGGAACUGUCAUGUGUUGGUAUCUUCUUUGAUCAAGCACUUGGAUAAUAAGAAUGUGACGAAGCAGCAAGGUAUUCAAGUUAACAUGGUUAAGGUAGCCACAUGCCUUGUGGUGCAUGCUAAGCAGGGGGCUUCAGGAGCGAUGACUGCUGUAAUAGCUGAGUUGAUUAAGCACUUGCGGAAAUGCCUGCAAAAUGCAGCUGAAUCGGAUCUGUCAGCUGAUGAAACGAAGCUGAACUCUGAGCUUCAGCUUGCAUUAGAAAAUUGCAUUGCGGAGCUCUCAAAUAAGGUUAGUUGGACUGUUUUAUCUUCUUUAGAGUGUUGUCUGUUGUUUUGAUCAGAUUAUUGUUUUGCUUUAAGGUUGGGGAUGCAGGGCCUAUUCUGGAUAUGUUGGCGGUGGUUCUUGAGACGAUAUCUACUAAUGUACUCGUUGCUAGGACCACAGCAUCAGCCAUUCUCCGUGCUGCACAUAUAGUAUCUGUGGUCCCAAAUGUUACUUACCACAAGAAAGUAAGUUAGAUUUUUUUACUUCAACUUUUGUUUUGUAAUUAUACUGUUCUAACGGAGUUGCUGUGGUCUGUCCCCAGGUGUUUCCAGAUGCCUUGUUUCACCAACUGCUCCUCGCGAUGUCACACACAGAUUGUGAAACUAGAGUUGUGGCACACAAUAUAUUCUCAGUUCUGCUUCUUGGAACUCUUCGUUUGCCUUGGUCAGACCAACAUAAGGAAACCUCAGAUGCUGUUGAGGAAUCCUUAAACAGUGAUCAGUAUAAAGAUGUAAACCACACAUCCUUGAGUAGCUUAAGGGAUGUAGAUGGUGGUAUUAAGGUAUGAAAUUUGAUAUAAAUUGGCACUUUUAUUAUUGUAUUUGAUAGUGAGCUGAAUACAGUGUGAUUUCAUGUUUUUGCAGUCUUUAUGUUCACUCAGACUCAGUAGUAAUCAAGUGAAUAUGCUCCUUUCAUCCCUAUGGAUCCAAGCAACUUCUACCGAGAAUACUCCUGCAAAUUUUGAGGCUAUGGCCAGCACUUAUAGUACCACUAUUUUGUUUUCACUAGCAAAGGUUAGUCAAAGCAUCUUAUGCUAAAUUGAAAAAGGACCUUACAGCUUUCUAUUGUAGUCUUUCAGAUUCAAAAUGUACUUAUUUUUGUAAAAUUAAAUCUGAUUUGGUGAUUGCAAAUGGCAGAGAUCAAAGCACAAGGCUCUGGUGUGGUGUUUUCAGCUAGCGUUCUCUCUUCGAAAUCUCUCAUUGAAUCAAAAUGGUCAGUUCAAGACUGUGAUUAGUGCUGUCUUUGAUAUAAUGCAUCAACUCUGACAUAUAUUUCUUGGUAUGAUUUUUAAAGGAGGUUUGCAGCUCUCUCGUAGAAGAUCAAUCUUCACGUUUGCAUCAUAUUUGCUCAUUUUUAGUGCCAAGAUCUCCAAUAUUCCAGAGCUAAUUCCCAUAGUCAAAGAAUCUUUAACUGCACAAAUGGUUAGCCUUUGUUAAAAUAUUGUUAUCUGUUUGUUUUCCUUUUUUCUAAAUCUCUUGCGUCAUGUCUUGAUUCUUGAAUAGGUUGAUCCUUGUCUUGUGUUGGAAGGAGACAUCAGACUUCGUGCUGUAUGUUCUGAAUCUGAGAAAGAUGAUAGUGCUGCUCUCAACUCGUCAGUGAUUGUCACAAAUGAUAGUCGCCUGAAGGAUAUCGUUAUCACUCAUUUUACAUCGAAGUUUCCGACAUUAUCCGAGGUACUUACCUAGUUUAAAUUGAUAAAAUGGUGCAUCCAUUCAUUUUAGUUCUAUUAUUCUUUGGUGGAAGUUGUGAUCUUACAUCCAAAUAAGCAGAAUAAAGAAACUAUGAGUUUGGUCUCUUGUCUUUUUCUGAAAAUGUUUUAUGUGUAAUGCUAUUAGGAGGAGCAAUCAAAUUUGAGAAAGGAAAUUAACUCAGAUUUUUGCCGAGAUGAUGCACACCCUCUUGUUGCACCAUUGUUCAUGGAUACAGCUGGAUCUGAUUCUCCUCUUAAUCAAAUAGAACUUCCAGCUUUUGAAGAGGUAUUAUGACUUUCAUUAGAAACUCACUUCAGGAGUCAGUUCCUUACUGCAGCUGUGUUGAUUGGUCAUUCAGGUUGAGCUUCCAUCAAUAGUAGCAUUCGAAGGAAUUUCUCCUGGGGCUAGUGGGAGUCAGUCUGGCCAGACAACAUCAAUGUCCACAAACACUAACGCAGUAGAUGUUCUGAGUGUCAACGAGUUGUUAGAAUCGGUAAAUAUACAUAGACUCAGUACAUAUUAAUAUCUAUUGGUUUCCUUUGUGAUCUUUUUCUUCAUUGAUGAUGUGUAGGUAUCAGAAACUGCUCGGCAAGUUGCAAGUCUUCCUGUUUCCUCGCUUCCUGUACCUUAUGACCAAAUGAUGAAUCAGUGUGAAGCUCUUAUGACGGGUAAGCAGCAAAAGAUGUCGGUUCUUAAAAGUUUCAAACCCGAAGCAACAAAAGCUAUAACAUUCUCUGAAGACGCUGAAGAGGAGGAAGUCUUUCUUCUCAAGGAGGUGAGAGAGAGAGAGUUUGUUCUCUGUUCUGUUGACAUUAAUUAUCCUCCCGUCAACAACUUUUUGGUAUUUAUUUUGUGUGUUGUAGACAGAAGAAGCUAAUGAAGAUGAUCAGAAGGCACUCACUGUGUCACAAGUCCAACCUCAAGGCCAGCUCGCAUCCUGCUCACACGGAGUGGAACAAGAUUCGUUUCGGUUACCUCCUUCAAGCCCCUACGAUGAGUUUUUGAAAGCAGCCGGAUGUUAAAACCAUGCAUAGAAGGUAUAUACAUAUAUAGACACACACACACACACAAGGCAUAGUAUAAUAUAAUAUGAUCAAGUGUGGUCUUCUGCUUCAUAUAUUCUUUAGUUACAUUCUUGGCUCUUUCUGGAAGCUACUAUGAUUGUGGUAGUUUAGGAUCCAGAACUAUGAUUGACCACUCAAUGUUUGUGUCUGGUUUGUUCUGAGCUUGGAUUUUGUAUGUGACAAAUGGAAUAAAUGAGUUAAUAUUAGUUUGAUGGAGAACAUUAGUUGAAGGUGCAAGUUCAACUUUACAGGAAGAUCCUUCUGAUUACUUUAUGUUUUCUUGGGCUUUUAAUUAUAGUCUCAAUCUAUAUUCCACACAUUUCCUCCAUUAUUACAUCAACAAAACAGGCUACAAAGCUCUUGAACUCUCAAGACUUAUCACACUCGAUGGUUGUUUUAUACUCCAUGAGAAUUUGAUCUUAAAGUCGGUAUAAAGAGCCAAUGAUAUAAUCAGGACCAAAAUAUAAAUCUCUCUUAGUUAGAGAGAAUCAUCAAACAAGAAAGUGUCAGAGUUAAACUCUGAAUCUAUACCCUCUCUACCCUUAAACUCGCCAAGCCCCACCGCUUUUUCAAUUGAGAAAUCAUUCAAAAAUGCAAAAUCAUCUUCCAACAUUGUCUUGCUUCUGCGGUUAAUCAGCUUUCUAGUUGUUAUUUCAGCUUUGGCUCGUUCUUCCGCAAUAAUCACUUCUUCAGCAGCUUCUAUAGGUACAACCUUUGAACAUGAUGGUUUGCUUGAUUUUCUCAACCUUGAUGGCAAACUCUUGUUCCUCUUCACACAGUUCCUGAUGGGCUCGUUCUUGAUGAUACUCUCAUUUUUCUUAUUGCUGAUUGUUCUUUUAAGCUCUGGAAUCUUCUUGGUUGUGUUUAUAACAGGACCAUUGAACACGAGCUUCUUCUUACACCCGUCUUUGAGAUCUACUUUUCUUGCCUGGAGAAGUUGUGCUCUCAUGGAUCUUGGGGAGGAGGUACCUGCAGACAUUUUGGCAUUCAGUAGCUUCUUUCUCCGCGGCGACAUUGAGAAAUGCUUCAAGAUAUCCUCUGGUGUCCAGUCAAAUCUCUGCUCAUACGGCCAGAAAAGCGGCUCAUCAACUUUAGUAACGCUCUUAGAUUCCAACACCUCUGCACUUAUUAUCUCAUGAGGCGAAGAAGGCUUCUCUGGUUCAAGUUGUGAGAAGCUGACUUUCUUCUCUGCACUCUCCUUGCUGCUCCUUGGGAUUCUACAACGGUCUUUAACCGAAGCUGCAUCUUGAUGAUUCAGAGAAUUUGCAAGUUUUGAUAACCAAGAGACUACACUAUCAUCAACCGAGAAACGAAACGCAACGGAUAGCCUCCGGUCUUCAAGAAGAGAAGUAGGAGAUGCACAAUCUGAAGAUAACCAUAUAGAAUCACUGUCAUCAAAGCUUCUCCAUUUUCCAAAGCUCUUGUUAGUCCUACCACCACCACGAUCAUCAAUCUUUUCCCGUCUUGGUAGCUGCGUUCCACCAGAUGAUGGUUUGAUCCUUGUAGCAUCUUGAAUCUUCUUUGCUGAAGUUAACUUCAUGGAUUCAUAGUUAGUAGAACCUGUUGAUUUCGACCUUGGAAGCAACUUGGGUUCAUUGUUUCCUCCUCCUGUACUUGUUGCAUUCUUUUUCUUCUUACUCAUGGAGAAAGAUGAAGCCACUCUCUUCACAAAGCCUUUGGACCCAUCUUUCACAUCGGUGAAAGCCAUUGAUGAUCCUUGAAAAAAGGAAGAGGAGAAGAGAAGUUUCAAGAAGUCACGAACACUGCUAUAGGUUGAGGAGUACAUGUUGGAGAGGAUCAUCGUUGAAGAUAAUGACACACUAACCACUAACUUGUUGGAGGAUCUGAAGGAGUCAACGAGUUGUGGCUCUAGAGAAAACACACAAGAUACAUAGUUGACCCUUGCAUUAAUCCUUCGCGCUUUAUUAGCAAAUAUUUUUCUAUACAUAUUAAUUUUGAUGUAAGUAGGUUAUUGGACAGAACGUUGUUAUCUUAUGACCUUUGUUAGUAGGUUGCGUUGACCAAUGUUAGGCUAACAUGUCAGCAUUUUGUAAAAGAGCCAAAUCUUCAAUUAUUGUAAUAACAAUAUAUUUGUGGCAAAGAGUUUUAAGGUGUUAUUCAAUAAGUGAAUUUAAAUCAAUUAUUAAUGUUUUGUAAUCUAUUAAAUUUUAAAAUUUUAAGGGGUGUCAUUCAAUUAGUAAUUUGAAAUCAAAAACUAAUCUUUUGUAAGAUAUCAAAAUUUUAAAAUUUAAGAUAUUUUAAGCGGAUGGACUCUAAAAUCUCUACAGUAUGCAUUACCAUAAAAUUUUAAAAUUGAAAGAGAAACAUAAAAACAAAAUCAGAAUUGUUUUAUUUAUAUAAGAGUAGAGAAUAUGCGAGAUUUAAGUAAAAGCGUUUAAGAUUAAAUUUUAUAUAUUUGAUUUUUUAUUGUGUGCGUGUUGCAAGUUAAAAAAAAAGUACACACCAAUCUGAACAUUAAUUAUGUCUAUAUUAUGACUUUUAUCAAAUAACUUUUUUACAACUACAGAACAAUCCGGUGUGCUUUGAAAGAGCAUGGCAAAAUCUAGUAGAGGGAUUGUAAAUUUGUAACUGAAACCCGAGAGACUUCAGUUUCCGUCUAGGUUUUUGCUGGACUCUUGGAGCUUCCUUUACCUUUCCCACCCCCAUUUGUCUUGCUAGAUUUAGUGUUUGUUGAUUUGCUGCUAGCCCCUUGCGAAUCCACAUCAGCAAGACCAUUCUCCAGAGCUUUCACCAGAUUCUCAAAGUAGGUUUUCGUUAUGCUGUUAAAUACACAACACAAGUUUUAGCCAAACCUGUCACAGGUGCCUUAACACAGAUGCACCAGAGAGGGACAGUUACCUGGUCAAACCGGUUAAUUUUGUCCGGAAAUGAUUGAAGUCAUCUGAAGGGCCUUCAGCAACUAGAAACACCUCCAGUUCCUUCUCUACGCAUUUGUGGAGCCUCUCCAAACCUGACUCAGCCUCCCCUGAUCAAAAUCAACAAGAGAAAAAUUUUAAACUUCAAGGGCUCAGCUCACACAACUAAGCUUUUCCUGAAAACAAAUCAACAAGAUGAGGAUUCAGACCUUGCAGAUACUCAAAAAAUUGUUUCUUAUCGUGAUCAGGUAGAUAGUAACCAUAUGCAUAUGUCCAUUUCAGUACCCGUCUGCAUUCAAUGAUCUGUAAAAGGUAUAUACAUUAAAGAGAUGUUGUUCACAAAUCUCAUAAUUAUUUCAAUAUUUUUAGCUGUGCUGACCUGAAGCCACGCCUCUGUGAUGCACUUGAGCUGAGAUUCUGGUGUGCCAUGUAUGUCACUAAGCUUCUCAAUCUAGCAAAACAAUGAGACAACAGCAUGUGAGAAACUGCUUUAAACAUUCUCUUACGUUCAAAACUCUUCAUAACAUGCCACAUGUAUAAGCACACCACAAAAUCAACAAUACAGUCCCUAUUUAGAUAUUUAAAUAGAGACUAGUGUUGCAAAUAAUAACAAAGGGAAUAUCAUUCUCCACUCCAAAGAAGAUUUAAGUAUCAUUCCAUAGAUAAAAGAUUAACAUGGAAACAAAAAUUGAAUAAUGACAGUAACAACAAUUCUUCUUACCUUCUCCGAUCUUGCUUUCUCCAGAUCCACCAUAGCCUUUUGCCUCGACUGCCAAUUCACACAAGAAAAGUAAAUAUAUAUUAUAUAUGAUUGGAAUACGAGAAACCUCUUAACAUACGGUAGAAAAUAAUGUCUUAGAAGCAGUGCAGCCAAGUGGUAAAUAGACUACACUACAAAAUAGUUUCUCAACCACACCCUUCACAUGGUUCACAUUUUCAAUGUCCACAAAAGCCAAGGCUCACAAACAGGAAAAAGCAAAUUGAAAAUCGAAGUUCAUGUCAAGCUCAUUAUAAUGCCAUUUCUAAGGUUCUUCCAAACAGCAAUACUAAUAGAAUGUAAAGAACACUUUAAGCUUUCAAGUGUCUUCAAGGCAUAAGAAGAUUUGUACAUACCGUUUGAUUGCUUGCCCAGCGUUCAUAAUAAUGAGUGUAUCUCUCUAGCGAAUUUUUUGCCAUCUCUCGCCUCUUUUCAGCCUCAUCAUACUAAAAAAAACAAAAUUUAAUUGAUAUCAACAAAACAAUACUAAAAAAGUUUCAAGGAGAAUACCACAUUCAAAGAAAUAGUACAAGAGGUCCCUACCCGUCCUUCUUGUUUACCCGCUUCAUACUUGUUGCAGGCAUAAAAACCACCGGUUCUUUCCCCGUGAUCUGUCCAUGCAUUAAGGCAUAGCCUAAAUAUUCAUAUGAAGAUACACAUUCAUUAGCACUUUCAUCACAAUAUCAAAUCCAAAAGAUAUCAGAGAGAAAACAAGGUUACAAUUCAACAUUGCAGAGAUAGGGAUAGAGCCUUACCAACAAAAUUCAUAUUUACAAGGUGGAGUGCAUGUCAUGUGCAUGCAUCCAUGGUUCUUUUCAAUUGGCCGCUUACACUUCGGACAAGGCUUUGAAUUGGCAAGUAUCCUGUGUAAGAGGAAUAAACAUAUUCAUGCAAAGAUGUACGGUAGAAAUAAACAAAAGAUUAAGGAAGCAUGAACAUGAAUAAUACCAGUUCAUAUUUUCCGAUUCAGCGCUGUUCUUGCGUAUCCACUGUGCAACUGUCUCGCAAUCCACAGGGCGGUGAGCCUCUUCAGUGCACUGGAAUUUUCAUAUUUAACAACAGUUCCACAGAUAAGUUAUAAUUAUUUAAAUGUAGUAAAGGGAAAGCAGAAUAGUAGUCACCAAGAACUUACAUUCCAACAAAAGCUAUGCGAGCACAAGCAGGACACAUCAUAACUACCAGUCCCAGCAGCAAAAUCAAUUGCAUGCUCACAUCCUGGGGCGGGACACCAUUUCAUCUAAAGCAGAAAAAAAAAGAGCGACAUUAAAACAAGACGAGCGCUAUAUCAUAGGCAAAUGCUAUCUUAGACUGUCUUACCUUUCUGUUGUCUUCAACAUAAGACCUAAUAAAAUAUCUAUAAUACUUCUCCUUGUCUUCCUUGGAAGCCAAUUUUUCGAACAUAUCUUGACCGACAGCAGCAGGACAAGAAGGCUCGGGACACUUUAGCAUCAAGCAUCCUGGGCCACCAUUUAUGGUUGUACUGAUAUAACCUACACAAGUGUACAGUAUAAGAGAAAAUGUAUAAGAAAAGAAAUGUUAUAGCAGAAAAAAAAAAAGAAACUUAAACAAUUAAAUUUAUAGGCAAACACCUUUGAUAAUUGAAAUGCAAACUAGAUAACAAUAAGAUAAAAUCACAAACCAGAUGCAAGCAUCCACAAGGAUUAUACGAAUAUGACUUACCAGUCCAGCAUGUACAGCAGAAAGGAUGACCACAUGCAACCGAUAGAAUUUCUUCAGGAGGAAAGGUUUCAAAGCAUAUUCCACAUGUAAGCUAAAACAUCAAAUGCGUCAGUGAAACGUUGAGUUACCAAGCAAGAAUUAUAUAGAGAAAAUAAUCAGAAAAGGAAUUACUUCUCCACUAUCAUCAGGGGUUGGAAUCACAAUCACAGGUGCAUCCAAUAUGCCAACAGUUUUACGAACCCUCUCCUCAUCCGCAAACCAUUCAUCAUGAACUUUACUAACACUCCUAAAAUGACACAGGAGGCAUGUACAUUAAUAUAUAUGUUCUCAAACAACCUAAUAGAGUCCAUUUAUAGUAAGCAAAUAUUAAAAAAAAAAUCUCUUAGAAGACAAAAAAUUCGUUUUGAAACAAUUAUUUUGAGGAACAACAAGAUGACAUAUAUAUAUAGGAAAGAGAUAGAUUGAUAACAAAAUCAUUUGGUUACAUGUCAAGGGGAUUAUACCAGUGAUAGUGAAGGAGCAAAACGCUUGCUUCAACCUCGCUUAUGGAGAGUACCAUGGAAACUUGUCCAAUAUCAUCCUUCUGAUGCCUGCGGAUAUCUUCUUCCUUGAGAACAACAUAAUUUACCUAGAAUACAGCAUCAUUACAACAAAGAUAUAACAGAUAGAAAUAGAAACCAAUCAGUCAUGCAGUAACUCCAUGGUAGAUAGCCAAUACAUAAAGAAUCUAGCAACCACUACACUUCCAUCAAGCUUUUACACAAAGACAACAAUCAACAGCUACACAUUUCCAUCAAUACCUCGAAUCUAAGACUAGACACCAACCUAAGCUCAAAACGGUAACAAGUUGCAAACUUUACUAUCAAAUGGAGUAAUCAAAUAAAGAGAUUUAAUUACCCUAAACAGAACAAAACCCAAAAACAAACUAUAAAAUGUCUUUUCUUCCUCAACACAAACCCACCUGAGAUCGAUGCGAUGCGAUCAUCACGGAGUCGUCCACGUCUUCCUCCACGAACCCGUAAUCGGGCUCACCACCCUCGCUGUAAUCAUCGGUCUCGCCGCUGUAAAAGUCAUCCUCCUCUCCAGAUUCCAUGUCGUGGGCAUUGAGCAGAUCAUCCUCGGAAUCCAUGAUCAGCGAUAAUUCUCCCUAAAGGCUUGAGCUUUAUAGGAAUCAGACCAAACCCUUUGUUUCCCUUUGUAGCUGCUCAAGCUAGGGUUUGAGGUUUCGUUAACAAAAGAAAGAAAGGUUCCUGCUUUAUAAAAUAGGAGAGAGAAUCUUGUAAAGGAAAGUUUGAUCAGAGAAAAUUUUAGGUAAGUUCUGAAUCGCGGAUAAGACUUGUACCACUCUCGGCUUGAGUCGAUUGAUUCAAGUAGUAAAAAUGUAAUCUUUUUCCUUUUAAAAUGUUAGACAUUCGUUAAUUCUUUAUAGUAUUAGUUCUGUCUUAACGUAAUCAUGUUUUUUUCUAACAUUUUUGUAAGAAAAGAACAUAGUUUCUAAUGUUUUUGGGUAUUUAUGUUUUGUCUUUUGGCAAGAAAAACUGUAAUUAAGAACUCCAUUAACGGCAACCAUAGAGUGAAUAACACAAGACAUUCCUUUGUUAUAAAGAUUAACAAAGAAAAAAAGAAACAUCUACAAUAUCUCCAGUGUAGCCAAAGACUUGCACUACAAAACCAGCUUUCUUCAUGAUGAUGCAUACUUGAUUGCAGUAUCUAUCUCUAUCGACAAACUAGGAGCCAUUUAUCUCACCUUCCAUUUUUGCACAAUCGUGGAAACAAACUAUUUCUCUGCACUCUUUUUAACUCUUGUCCAUUUAUUAGCUUGUACUUUCUUCUUUGACUGAAGUUUUUAGAUUCCCCUCUCUCCGUACAACUUUUCUCUUUGCUUGAAUAUGAUGCACAAACGCAGCUACUAUGUCGUGGAGUUUCGGUGGAGGCCUAUUCGUUGAAGACGCAUUAUAGCCAGCAUCUUUCAAAGCCUUAGCUACAUCCUUCUGCGCUUUCUGGAAAUGCGCAUUACACAAGGCGGGAAGUGUCGACGCUAGUGUUGGCUUUGGACACGUUAUUGCUUUCGACUGAGCUCUGCACAUACCAAAAUAUAACAACGAGUUAGAAUAAUAGCUGGUUUAAGUAAUCAUCACAUGCUAGUUACACUUCAAACACACAAAAUUUCAAUGUAAGAACAAAAGAUGGUCUAUUUACAGUUAGAACUUCAGGAAGAUAUAACUAUCCACAGAAUCCUAACUACAUCAAAAGACACAAAAGGAGACAACAGUCGAUUCCAUUACACUCAAAAACCAAAGCAAGUUACUUUCAGUUCCUAACCCUAUCUCUAUAGCAAAAUGGAGACAAUAGUAAAGUCCUUAUUUGGAAAUUACGGUAUCUUUGCCCAUUACACUCAAGUUACUUUCCAAUUCAGACAAAGCCAGUAUGAACCAAUUGAUGUUUCACAGCAUCACAAACCAGCAAGAGAAGUAACUGCAAAUCCUAACCACAUACAAAAGACACAAAAGGAGACAAUAGUCAAUUCCAUUACACUCAAAAACCAAAGCAAGUUACUUUCAGUUCCUAACACUAUCUCUAUAACAAAAUGGAGACAAUUCUCAAGUCCUUAAUUGGAAAUUACGGUUUCUUUUUCCAUUACACUCAGACCAAAGCAAGUUAAUUUUCAAUUCAGACAAAACCAGUAUGAACCAAUUGAUGUUUCACAGAAUCACAAACCAGCAAGAGAAGUAACUACGAAUCAAUAAAAGCAGCGAACUUGUUGUGAACUAACUUUUUACUGACGAAAGUGCAAGAAGUGUAAAGCUUCUGUUUUUUAUCCGACAAGAUAUGAAGCGGACAGUAGUUCGUGAGCGGCAUAGCCUUUGACUUGCACCCAUUACCACAAGCCACACAGUUAACGUCACCAUCGUUGUUGUCUCCGCUACCUUCAACGGCACCACCAACUUCAUCCCCAUAAACCUUACGUCUCUUGUUUUGGUGGCGAUGAUGAUUCUCUUCUUUGAAAGGACUAACACCGUACUUCCAGUAAUACUCUCUGUGUUGGGCCUUAAGAUCCUCCAUCAGGGCCCAGUAAUGGUCUCUGUAGCAUUUAGCUAGCUGCUUCAGGUUGUGCGAUCGCCGUCGGAGAAGCUCAGGUCGUGUUAGAUGAGUGGAGUGUUUGAGGAUUUGAUCCUCCGGUGACAUCGUGAUCGGUGAGAGGCUUGUGCUAGGGUUUCGAAAUUGGGAUUCUUCUGAUACAGAAGCUUUCGUGGGGAUUGAGGCAGCGAUGGUGAACGGGUGCCUUGGGGGUUUUGAAGAAGAUGGGUUUUGCUUUGAAGUAGAAGCCAUUCUCACGGCGAUGAGAGAGAGAGUCUGGAGGAGGAGGAGGAGAGAGAGAGAGGGGAUGAAUCCGCCGCCUAUUGAUAUUUCCUUAUAACACUCACGAAAAGGCCUGUCUUAUAAGCCCAUUGGGCCGUAUAGAAUAUAACCCAAUAGAUCGAAUUGAAAAUUAAGAAUUGGUUUGGUUUGGUUAAACCAGAGGCGGAGAAAUUGACAGGUCAGCUGUCGGUGGGAAGGUGCCACUUCACUUAAGUAGGGCCCAGAACACCCACCAGCCUGUCUCACCAAACGUGAUCUACACCGUUGCUUACACUCUAAUCCAACGGUUGAUAGAGACUGCUGAUCCGUCACCAGCUUUAGUUUAAUCCUUCGUCUCCUUACGCUUGAGGAAUCUCUCAAUUUCACGACAACGAAGCAAGAAAAAAAAAAACUAGUUAUUGUCCCCCGUUGAAGCUCAUCGGUCUCUCUAGAUCUAGCUUAUCGGCAUUACAAGUAAGCGCUAUUACUCUUAAGUACUUUGUGUAAUUAUAAUCACAGCUAAUCUUGACUCUGUGUAGCUGAUUCAUUAUUGGUUUCGUGAUUCUGAUAAAAUCUCUGAUCAACAUUCACAUUUUGAAUUCUUCACAAGCUCUACACUUGAGAUUCUAAUCUUGUGCAUCAUCCUUUUCCAAUUUUGUAUUAUAUCUGUUAAUUUAUCUUAUCCAAGUUGCUGAUUAAAUUCUACAUUUGCUGAUUGUAAUAUUUUCGAGGUUUAAUUCGAUUUAAUGUGUUUGGUUUUAGCAAGUUCUCAUACUUAUUGUUCAGCCUAUGGUUAGAGUUUAAAAUGUGUUAUCUACUGGUGAAUAAGACGUUGAAGUUCAUUUCUUUAUAGCAUGUUCAUGAGUAACACUUGCUUGCUAGGAAGAAUAGAAAAAAAAAGUUUCUAUUUUUAAGACAAUUCAAACAAAAAGCCUGUCGAAUUCUUUUUUUAUAUGAUCUUGUAGCUGAAACUUGCUCAUAUAUAUUUUUUAUAUAUGGUCAGAAUUUAAUAUGUGUUCAGGAGUAAUAUUUGCUUGUUAGGAAGAAUGAAAUUAAAAGUAUUUAAAUUUUAUCAGACGAUUCAAACAAGAAACUAGUCUAAUUAUCUUUUUGUAUGAUCUUGUAGCUGAUACUUUGCUCCAUAGUUGUAAAGCUAUGGUGACGAUCCGUAGCGCGUCAGUCUUUAUUCUAGUCCUUCUGGCUGUAUCAACCCUGGCUUUGGUUGCCAAUGGGGAAGACAAAACGAUUAAAGUGAAGAAAGUGAAGGGGAAGAAGGUGUGCACGCAAGGAUGGGAAUGUGUCUGGUGGUCUGAGUACUGCUGUAACGAGACGAUCUCGGAUUACUUUCAGGUGUAUCAGUUUGAGCAGCUCUUUGCCAAAAGAAACACUCCUGUUGCUCAUGCUGUUGGGUUCUGGGACUACCAGUCUUUCAUCACCGCUGCUGCUCUCUACGAGCCUCUUGGGUUUGGUACCACUGGUGGAAAGCUCAUGGGACAGAAAGAAAUGGCUGCGUUCCUUGGUCAUGUCGCCAGCAAAACGUCCUGUGAGUUUUCUUCCAUACUCUUAAUGCCUUGAUUACAGUCAAUGUUUUGAAAACCGGACCGGCGGUCAAUGUAGCUGAGUCAAUGGACCGGUUCAACCGGGUUUUACAUUUUAAAGUAUAACUAUAAAAUUAUUUUUAAGAAAACUUUAUAUCAUGGUUAAAAUCUAAAAAUCAUAAUAUAAAACUAUAAUGAAAACUAAUAUAUUUAGAUAUAUAUUAAAAACAAUAUGAAUUUUUAUGAAUUUUUUUUAAAUUGCAUUUUUAGUUUUUAAACUUGAAUUCGAGAAAAUCGGGUUUUAAUAUUGAAUCGGUUCACCGGUUUUAGCGAGUUUUGCCGGUCAAAAACCGGAUUUUCCGGUUUAACUCAAAUCCGGUUUUUAACACAACCAAGACAUAGACUUUGUGGUUUCUAUGUUAUAAGCAGCUUUUAACAAGCAUGAGUUGUUACUGUGUUGUCUUAUAUAGGUGGCUACGGAGUGGCAACAGGAGGGCCUUUAGCUUGGGGUCUGUGCUACAACAGGGAGAUGAGCCCAAGCCAAUCUUACUGUGACGAGACCUGGAAGUUCAAGUACCCUUGCAGCCCUGGAGCUGAAUACUACGGACGUGGCGCCUUACCCAUUUACUGGUAAUGCAUUUCUCCUCUCUAUAUCAAACUCACAUUCUUAUGUGUACUCAAAAGAAUGUCACUUGUGUGUGUACAAAGGAACUUCAACUACGGUGCAGCUGGUGAAGCCCUCAAGGCUGAUCUCUUGAACCACCCCGAGUACAUCGAGCAGAACGCCACGCUUGCCUUCCAAGCUGCAAUCUGGAGAUGGAUGACACCGAUCAAGAAGGCUCAGCCUUCAGCUCACGAUAUCUUUGUCGGAAACUGGAAACCGACGAAGAACGAUACGUUGUCCAAACGUGGCCCCACUUUUGGUACCACCAUGAACGUCUUGUAUGGAGAGUACACGUGUGGUCAAGGUGAUAUUGAGCCGAUGAACAACAUUGUCUCGCACUACCUGUACUUCCUUGAUCUUUUGGGUAUUGGAAGAGAAGACGCGGGGCCUAACGAGGAGCUCAGUUGCGCUGAGCAGAAGGCAUUUAACCCUUCAACUGCACCUACCUCCUCUUCCUCGUAAGUCUCCAACACUACUCAUACUUCCUCCUAUUGCCGUUGUUCUCAAGUCACUCUUGCUUUAACUCGACAAGUGUUAUGUAAUAAGUGAAAUUGCUUGUGUGUGCUUUUUUGUCUGUAGAACUUAUGCAAACGAAAUUUUAUAUUUUUCAUGUAUGUAAUAACCAUAUUCAAUUAUGAUAUUUGCCGAAUGUGUGUAAAAAUAGAGAAAGCAAGGAGACAUUAAUGUGUGUUGCGAAUGAUGUUUCUAUUCGUUUGUUAUAUAAAGUUUGGUUUCUAAUGGAGUCUCCUGUGUUCUUGGUGGAGGAUGAGAUCAUCUCACCACAAACAGCUUAUAGCUUUUAUAGUAGAGACAACUUAAUAGCUGCUCUUUUGUACAUAGAUUCAACAUAUUGCUAAAAGCUCAAUUGGUAAAAAAGGUGGUCUGAACAAAGAGAUUUAUUCUUAUUGAUUUUAAAUAUUUUAUUGAUGAUUCACUCGCACUGAAAAGACCAAGAAAGAGGACUCAGAGCAAACUGGUUUGAGCUAGAGUAGUUGAAAGAGAGAGUCUCCAUUGGACUCAACGGUAAACCGUCGUUAACCACGCAGUUCCCGGCGGAAGAGGAGAGGACACGGAGGAGCGUAGGGUCCACAAGAGACUGAGGGAAGCCUUGACAUUUCAGACGGAGGUUGAUGAUAGGACACAUUGGACAUUUGUUCAUCACCUCAACUCUGAACUUCUUUCCUUCUCCCAACUUCACCUGCGUCUGUCUCACCGUUGGUUCGCUGCUUUUGCUGUCACACUUUUCUCCAAAACCUACACACACAUACAUCCACCAUUCACAUGUGUCUGUAUAUAUAUGGUUACAAUCCAAGAAGUUAUGAAGUUACCUGUUUGAAGAAGCAAGAGAGCAAGAGAUGACCAAAGAAGGAACUUGAGAGAGAUUGACAUUUGGACACAAGUAGAGACAUAAGAACUACAGAACUAUUGAGUAUAAAUACACACAGUGUGUAUGUGUAUGAAAUGUGAAGGAAUGAGUCAAGAGAUACGUCCAAUAAUGGUCACAUGCACAGAGAACCAAAUAAAGGUGGGAAAUAAAAGUUAGCACAAUACCAAAGGACUUCUUUCUUCACGUGUUGUGUGUCAGACUCAAGAAAACUAUUCACCCUUUAUGUCUGACUCAAAUCUUAAUUCCUUGUCUAUAUAAUCUUUGAAAGCUCUUUUAUAUCAUCAUCAUCAUUCGCUUAAAUAUAAAAAGUCCAUCAUCAUCAUCAUUCAACAAAUAAUUCAUAUUUUUCUUUUUUUACAUGUUUUUUUGGAGUUUGACGCUAAAUCAAUAAAAUGUUCAGAAGAGUUCAAGAAAUGCAAGCUUGAUUAUAACUUUAUAUCUGGAUCCAUGACAAAUGGUAUGAAAGUAGAGCACAAUGGGUGGAAAAGACAGUAACGAGUUUCGAAUUACAAAACAAGAAGACAGUGUCUUAGACAUGCAUCAGGAUGAUGCAAACGGUCAAACCAGAUUACAACAUACACAAUAAUGAUACAUGAAACAGAGGAAACUCUACAUUUCACUAUUUAUUCACCAAGGUGGCAUGCCCUUAAUUUAAGUAGUAAAAACAAUCUCAAAUAACGUACGAGUCUUCUAAGGUACUUAGUUACUAAACAAUCUCUAAAACCCUUUCUUGUGAGUGAGUUCAUGAUCUCGUAGUAGAAGACGGAGAAGUUCAACGCCAAAGCCAAUCUGAUAGGAUGUGUAGGAGGAAGUUUAACCUCAGCAGCAGUAGUGACAAUCUGUAAAGGAAAAAACUGAUAAUAAGUAAAGCGACAAAACAGAGAAUAAAGAACCAAGCAAAUCUUCAGAAACAUGUAACUAAUCUUUAAGUGAGCAUUGUUAUAGCUUACAUAUUGUUGAAGAAGAUGGUUGAUUGAUCCUCGGAAGUAGAGGGAAUGAGAGAUGCUCAUCCAACACAGACUAUCAACACGUAUGUUUGAGUGCUCUAGCUCAACCUUGUCCAUAUAUAUAUAAGCUUUGAUUUGUCUCUUAUCCAAUAAAAGCAACAAACAUAAGAAGAAAGUCAAAACAAGCAAAAUAAUCAAAGGAAACAAAACAGAAAAGCACGUAAGAAAGAAUCUAAGGAAACAAAAACAUAAAAGCAAGUAAGAAACACAAAACAAGAAAGCAAAUGUGAUGUUGAUUUUAGAAAAAAAAAACAAGAGGGAAAAUUGCUUCAUUAUGAGAUUGAUUACGAAGAACUAAAUGAUCAUAAGUGUCAAAGACAAAAAGAAAUAAACAAUCACUAACUUUAAUUGACCGAAAGAAAUACAUAAUUUCUAACUAUCAAUGACUGGAUGUAACUUCUAAUUCUUUUCACAAAUUACACAUUAAGUUUUCAUUAUCAAUCGAAUAAUAUAGAAAUUUUCCCCCAAGUUUGAAAAUCUCUUUUUUUAUAAAACAUUUUAGUGAAAACAAUUUUACAAAUCAGUUUAUGUUAAUUUAAAAAAAUUCAAGAAAAGAGGAGCGUACGUACCCGUGUAGACGUACUGGUGUAGACUUUGUCCAUAGGAGCUUUGAUCAUCUUUGCAUUAUUAACAUCAUUCGCCUUCCCACUAGCAGAUUUGUCUCUUAGCCAAUAAAAGAAACAAACACAAGAAGAAAGUUAAAACAAGUAAGAAACACAAAACAAGAAAGCAAAUGUGAUGUUGUUGAUUUUAGAAAGAGAAAAACAACAAGAGGGAAAAUUGCUUUAUUAAGAGAUUGAUUAUGAAGAACUAAAUGAUCAUAAGUGUCAAGACAAAAGAAAUAUACAAUCGCUAACUGGAUGUUAGAAAUAUACAAUCUCUAACUAUCACUGACCGGAUGUUACUUCUAAUACUUUUCACAAAUUACACAUUAAGUUUUCUUGAUCAACCAAAUAAUAUAGAAAUUUUCCCUCAAGUUUGAAAGUUUUUUUUAAAAAACAUUGUAGUGAAAACAGCUUUAGAAAUCAGGUUAUAGUAAUUUUAAAAAGAUCAAGAAAAGAGGAGCUUACCCGUCCGUGUAGACUCUGUUUCCAUGGGAAUAGUCUCUUUUUCAAGCAACUCUUUAAUCCGGACAGAGUUAGUCUUCACUGCUGUGUGUUGUGAGCCUUACUAACUCUUCUUUAAAAACUGACGCACUCCAUCUAAGAAGAAGAAAGAGAAAAAUAAUCUGGAGAAAUAAUCUGAAGAAGAAGAAAGAGAAAAAGGAAAUAAUUGAUUUGUGGUGCGCUAUGAUAAUGAAUAUAAAUAGACCCCAAUUUCCUUUAUUGCAACACUCCCAAUGUUCUUUAUACCGUUGCUUCCCAGUUCCCAUAAUCCAAUAAAUAUUAGCCGUUGGACAAAAAUAAAAAUGAUUUAUUAUUAGAUCAAAAUGAUUUAUUAUAUUUACCUGCUGUGUUGACAAAAAAAAAAUAUUUACCCACUGUAAAAGUGUUGAAACACCUCACGGUUCACUCUAUGAUGUUACUAAAGUCUGAUGUUACUUAAGUCUAAAGCUUCUCAUCAAAAUCUUUUUAAAAAAUCCCAUUUUAAAAAGCCUAUGAUGUUACUAAAGUCUAAAAAUAUUGGAGUAGAAAAAAAUGAACCGUUGCUUCCCACAGUCCAAUAAAUACUAGCCGUUGGACUUAAAUAAAUAUUUUUAUUUUUAUUGAAUUUUCUUUUAGAGGACUAAAAUAAUUUAUUAUAUUUACCCACUGAAAAAAAUGUUGAAACACCUCACGGUGAAAACAUAUUUCACUCUAUCCUACUUGUAUUAAGUUUCUCUUUAAAAUCUAAAAAACAAUCCCAUUUUAAAAAGCUUAUGAUGUUACUAAUGUCUAAAAAUAUUGGAGUAGAAAAGUUCUUCGCAUUAAAACCUUAGUUAUCGUUUUGUUAAAGUCUUGUUGUUCACUAGUUCAUUAUAUCAGUGAUAAAAUAAAUUAAAUUUUAGAUACAGAACUUUGGUGAAAAUAUGUAUACUUAUACAAUUACAUUUAUACGAGUGGGGGCUCAACUAGUGUGUACAUGUAAGGGUCAAAUCCCAUGUGUUACAUUUAUGAGCAAAAGAAAAAAAAUGUCAGAAUCAUGUUGAUUUUUUAUGUAGGAGAGCAAGUUAUGCUCCUGGAGAUGGAUUUACAUCUGAAGCUGAAGGCUCCUGAGUCCCGUAGUUCCACAAGUCUCUGAGUUCUUUCCUCACCAACCCUAGUAUAACCGUUAUACCUGCAAAGUGUUCAGCAUUUAGUUGGUUAAUCAAAUGCAUAGUAGAUUCAUUAAAAAUGACUCGAGAGAUACCGAGAGUGCAUGGCACUAGAUAGAGCAAUGCAGGUUGACCGUGUCCGUUCAUAAGAUAUAGUCCCAAGUAUGUUAAGAAUAGUCCAAGUCCGUAACCAAACAUCAACCAUGGGAAGUAGCCUUUCACUACUCCUUUGUUGUUUUCCCUGUCAUAUCUGAGAGAGAGACAUAUUAUUGAGUUUUGACCCCAAAAAAAAAAAAAGACAUAUUAUUGAGAUGGUGCACAUUGAAUAAGGACAGUGUUUGAAACAGUAUAAUAAGUCGAUGCAUGAGAGGGUUACCUGAAGAUAAAGCAUAUGAGAAGACCCGGGAAUAGAAUGUCUCCAAAACCGAUCAUGUUGUAACCACCCCAUGGAUCAGAAAGCCUUGGAAAUCUCAGUAGCAUGGGAAUAGAUUCUCCUGUGUCUUUGCUCCCACGUGCAACCUAUAUGUCAUAGAUUAAUAACUAUUAAGGUUAUGAGACAGGCAUUGGUCAAAUGAAGGAAAAAUAUCGAAACUCACUGCAAUCAUCACACUUUGCUUGAAGAUUAGUGGUGACAGGAACACCCAAAAGAUGUCAUAGAAAAAUGCACAACAUAGAAGAAUGGUUGCAACCUAAAGCGUGACAUACAAAGAGAUCAUAAAUGAAAUAUAAACAUAAAAUACUUACAAAAAUAUAUAUAAAAACAUAACACUCACCCUGAUAUUAGGUAGCCGAGCCACUUGCAAGACAUUUAUCAUCAAGCAAAUACCCUGUAUUUAACAGAGCCAAACAUUAAGAUAUUAAUUAUUCAACAACUAUAGAGUUAGGAGUAUUAAUAAGGACUUACGAAAAUAUCUUGGCCGGCCCAUGCAUACGAUGUUUUGCGGUUUAUGAACCAGACGACAGCAACCACAAAGCAGAACAACAGAACCAUGAGUGAGAGAAUCGUUACAUUCCCAAACAAAGGGACUUUCACAGUCUUCCGACCACAUUUAUUGCAUCUCCUGCAAUAAGAGAAAGCAAACACAUGAUGGUUUUAACUAUUUUGGAACAGAGAGAUGUUUCAUGUGUUGAAAAGUUUAGGAUUCUGAGUAUUACAUUGUUAUGAGGGUAUAGAUAAUAUUAUGCAUUCCCUGAGAUACAAAAAUAUAUAUAUUAGUAACUAUGAUGUUAAUUAAGGUUAAUAUAAGAUCAAGAUAGGACAACGUUACCUGCAUACCACCAAUGCAGAAAAAGACGGUGAGGAUCAAGAUGAACCAUGAUGACAUAAAGAAGAAGAGCAACACAAGGAACGUGGACGCUGAUAUGACAAAGAUAACAGCACCAGUAGCACUAAUAUCAAGUGUUUCAUCGUCAUCUUUUGUAGCAUCUUUGGUAGCACCAUCAACUGAAGACUUCUACCAAGAAAGAUUCAGAUGUUAGGGAAAAUAAACACAUAUUAUAUUGUAUUUAAUUAUUUAUCUUGUUGACAGUUUCUUGUUGAUAAUAUGUAUAUUUUAUUAUUUCAUCUUGGCGAUGAAGUUUAAUAUGUGAAAAAAGAAGUUUAAUAUUAGUAGAGCUCCUAAAUAAAGUCUGGUAAAAGGCACCUUUGGUGAUAAUUCAUUGUACUCAUCAUCGUUCUCCUUAGGACCGGUGCAAUGUGACCAAACAGAAGCAAUGAAAACUGUUCCAACAGACAUAAGCCAGAGGAAUGCCACUGCAUAAUCCACAACUGGGCUUUUUGGAGCAUACAAUAAUAGCUCCACUGCCCCAAAAAAAGACCCAUUAAGUAGCCAUCAAAAGAAUGGUACAAAGAAACAGAUAGACUAUCAUUAAAAAUGAUAGAAUAAGAACAUACCUUUCUUAUUUGCCAUAAGGGAUUUCUUCAAGGCAUCUCCAGAUGAUGUAGUAAUCAUCAAAACAGGUAUAGUAAGACUUAAAGGAGUUUCUCCCUCAGUACAAGCCAUCUCAUCCAGCUCUGAACAAAAAAAAAUGCAAAGAUAAGAGAAACAAAGAGAUGUCAGAGGCUCAUGAAAACAAAAGCAAGAAGGUUUAGGUUAUGAGUCCUAACCUUCUUUGUCGUUUAUUAAAACCAAAGCUGCAGCUCCUCCUGCCUGUGCAACCUGAGCCUUAGCUGUGAAAGUACAUUCCCCACGUACAGAUAACGCAAUAGAACCAGAUAGCUGCAAGAAUUAAAAACAAACAUCAUAACAAAUAAAACAAAAACAUGAUGGUGAUUAUGAUGGAGAAGAAAGAGGGACAACAAAAAAACCUUUGAGGUUAAAUUGGAGCAACUGUUCAAAGGAGUUGUAAGAACAACAGGAAGUCUAACAGCUUUGUCUUUAUCAGACGGAAGCACGGCACCAAACUGAGCAGUCAUGCCACUAAAAUCUUCACCAUUUUCUCCGUUCACCCAAUGCUCAACCUUGACCUGGACAAUAUCUUUUUUAUAUUAAUAAAGAUUCUUAAUGAUAAACAUGAAUCUAUAGGGAAAAAUUCUAAUGAGGCAUUCGACAUUUACCAUUUGAUAUUCGUUGGAACAGCCAGGAAUCUUGGGAGCCGCGGCAUCUUUAGAAGGAGCUUCACCAGCACCAAGGCAUAGCAGACCGGUUAGAUAGAGGGCCACGGCUGCCGCGAGAAUGCGGCAGCUAAACGGAGGCAACGACAUCGCCACCCUAAGAGAGGGAUAGAGAAGGGGAAUGUUAGGAUGAUGGAAGAAAGAAAAAGAAGGGAGCGAGAAGAGGGAAAUAGAUUAUUCUCGGUUCACCUUCCCUGUUACACAAGUCAUUUUUUUUUCCCUUUUUAAUCUUUUCUAUUUCGAUUUUCUUUUUUUCCCUCGCUUUACAUUAUUUCCAAAUAAUGAAAGAAAAGAAAACUCGAAAAAAAAAACAGUUAGAGUUAGUUUCCAUCGUUAAUUUGACGAUGAUCUAAAAUAGAUAAAUAUUAUUUACAAACAAACGAAGUAGAAUGAAUGGAUAAUUUUAAACAUUUGCCAAAACUAUAUAUGAAAGGAGAAAGAGACAAAUCAAUUAGACUUCAUGAGACGAUAACCGAAAAUUUAUAAAAAAUGGAAAAAAUUAAUUUUGAAUGAGUAUAUGCAUUUGUGAACGGGUAUAUCGGAAUUUUAAGAUAUUAGCAUUAAUUCUAUAAUGAAGUUAGCAAUAGUUGGACAGCAACCGGAACAACACAUCAUCACAAGGUCAGUAACUGUGAUUAGUGGCAUUGAGAUGAAAGAAAUGUAGACUCUAAUAGAUUAGAAAUAAGAUUGAAGUUGAACCAUCUCCUUUUAUAACACCCUGCGAGUUUAUGUGAGUUUUAUUACGCAAUGCGAGACAGGAAUUUUAUAUGUUUGGGAGCAGACCCGUCUCUAGGCAGUGUAGUUUUAUGUGAAUUUUUUUUUUUUUUUAAAUAUAAACCGAUAUACCCGUAGAAAUCGGUAUAAAUGAGUCAAAUUUUUACAUAUUAUGAUCCCCUAAAUUAGUGGUACAUAUUACAUAUAUACUUUCCAUAAAUCACUGGUAAUAUCACUGGAAUAAGUAAAAAAAUCUACUUGCAUUUUUGCAUUUAAUUCACCCAUUGAUGUAGCAGAAGAAUAUAUGGAAAUAAAAAUUAAAGACAAAAAAUAACUUUUUUGACAUUAAUGACGAAAUCGGUAAUUAAUAGGAGGCUUUACGUUUGGUUAAGUAAAACUCAUUUUGCUCCUUCCCAAGCCAAAAGAAAUCAUCGAGAGGUAUGGAGAACCAAAAGACGACUUUCAAGUUUGAGUUAUUAGAUAACUUGUCAGAGAAGCAAGAUGUGAUACGUUCUCCUAAAUUCGCAAGCAGCAGCGGAUCUCAAGGUUAAACUCGACAAGGAGAGAGCUGAAUCUGCUGUAUCUAAAGUUGUUGUGCGGUUGAAAAAUGCUUUUUGCUUUUCUCAUACUAAGAUUGGAGGGUGUCAUGAGAGGACAGAUGAUUACCAGUUGUUGCUGCCUUCAUGAAACCUGAGAAGGAGCUUCACCAGCCUCAAGACAUAGCAGACCGCUGCGUGAAUUCGGCAGGUAACCGGAGGCAACGACAUCGCCACCCUAAGAGAGGGAUAGAGAAGAGGGAAAUAGAUUAUUCUCCUUUCACUUUUCUUGUUACACAAGUCAUCUUUUCCCUUUUUUAAUCUUUUCUAUUUCGAUUUCUUUUUUUUCCCUUGCUAACAAUGAAGAAAAACUCACAAGUUAGCUUGUUCUCUCACUGCAUUCACACUUGCAAUUCUCUUGUUCUUUCUUUUUUUAAGACUAUAAAAGGCUUUAACUAUUGUUUGAAUAUAAAAUGACAAUAGUUCAUUCAAUAAUGUUGCUGUUUGAUGUUUAAAUAGAAACAUAUAUGCACAUUGUGUCAUCUUUCAUGUCUCUCUGUCAUACUACUAUAUCAGGUUCACUUGUCAGAUCGCUGAAGAGAUUCCGUGACUCUAGAACCUUGUGCAUCGCAUGUCUACACCUGGAAGUAAAAAAAAGAACUAAGCCUCAAAGAGUGUUUCAUUAUAAGAAGGGAACCGAAGUUUUGGAUUAGAGUAAAGAGUUGCUACCUCCAAGGAAGAUGAUCAAGGAACAUUGAUGGAGAAACCAUAAGCUCUUUGAACCUCUCUCUUUUUGCAACAUACGCUUUGUAACCACCACUUGUCACGUCACAGAUCGGCCAUCCUCGCCAUAUCGGCACGCUCAUGUUGUUUACUUCCGGUACAAUAUGGAUGACCAAACCCGGCAAGAACAUCUCCGGAGCUUCUUCAUCAUAAUCUUCUCCUCCUCUUGUUGGCACUGUCUCCAUAAACUGAGUCACAGGAUUAUCCGUUGAGGCCACCAGCUCGUGGAACGGAUUAAUGAACUCUUCGUCGUGUUGCCUCACUUCCACUUCAGCUGAAUCUUCAACUUAUUAAGACAAGAAGAAGCGUUAUCACUUCUCAUUAGCUAACCUUUCUUGAUGGAGAAGUUAUCAUCAAGAGUGAGAUAAAAAGUUGUUACCAGUUAUUAUUGAUGAUGGUAUUGCUUCUUCUCCUUCAACAACAUUUUGUCGUUGGCGUUUGCUAGCAGACAAGAACCGGCGCGCGAGUCUGAAAAUGAGUGCUGUAUCAGCCUUAGGGUCUUGAGACAGCACUUUGAGCGCAGCUACUUGGAGCCGGCGGAUUGAUCCAUAAGAGAGCCGCGAUGAGAACUCGUUAUCUAGUACAAUGCUGGUUAGGGACUAUAAAACAUUAGUGACUUAAAUAAUGUCAGCGUAUGAUUCGUUACAAAAACAAAUCUAACCUUGUAACAAACUCAGAACAAGCUUCUGCCACAUCUGAAUCUACACAUGGGAGUGGUCCGUAUGCGUAUACAUAGAGGUUAGGGAACCUGCAACGAAGCUAUAUAACAAAAAGAAAAUGAAUAAAAGAUAAGUAAAGGAGAGAUAGAUGUAAUCUUUUUGUGAAAUUGAGAACAUACUCUAACUCCUAGUAACGAGGCAAUAGCACCUCCUAAGGAAUGUCCAACGAUGCGGAUGCUGUAGCCAUCACACUCGCAUCCAUCACCAAUUAACGAAGACAAGAACCCAAUAGAUUCUGAUUCUGCACACUCCAUUUUGUAUAAUUAGCUUAGAGAAGCCUUAAGUUGUGACAAUUUAUUCUGAACUCUUACCUCCAAAUUUGGGAUCGCCUUCUAUUUGCAUAAAUAGAUCUCUAGCAGCUUCUACUAUUCCUGAAUGUCCGUAGUGUGUUCGUGAAGAGUCCAUAACAUGAAUGUUACUGACAUAAACACACACAUGAAAAUAUUUAUUUUUUAUUUCACUGUUUCUUAUAAGAGAGAGAGAGAGAUAGAGACUGACUUUGUUAGCCCAUCCAAGUCUUCAGCAGUUAGUGAACAAGCACGGCCCAAACCAUCGGUUAUUAGAUCUUCAGCCGUCUCGGUUCCUCUAACAGCAAUUACAACACAUCUGAGAUAAUGCAAGACCACAACGAAGUAUGUUGCUUUACACUUCUCCUGCAAUAACAAAACAAUUACACUAAUAGAUGAGAAAAAGAUUCUAAAUGCAUUGAAGCCCACAAGAUACUCAAAAACAACUUCAAAUACACAUAAAUGUUUUCUUCAAAUAAUUGUUUUUUCUUCUACUAUAUCGAUUCAUUUGUGUUAGACCACAGAUAAAGCAAAGGCAUACAAGAUCUUUCUAACACAAGACUGCUAUGAAGGGAACAAACUUACACUACAAAUGCGACCUCGUCUAAGAACAUGAGCAGGAAAGUCUAUGAACUUAAGGAAGGCAGCUGCAUGACCUCGCCACCAAUUGUCACCAUCAAGCUUAGGCCGCCUGCGAAUAAAUUGCAAGGAAAGCUUCUCACAUUAAUAUCAAACGAAACAAGACUUUUAAAGAAACAAGUUGGAGUUUUCUUCAAACGAGCUAACCAGGUGUAGUAUACCAUUUACGGCUCCAAGGUGUUAGUAUCCCUUGCCUACAUAUCCAUGUGCAUAGAAACAAAGCAGGGUUUCUCCCAACAUCAAGCAGUGGCCCCUGCAAAAAAUUGCCACACACGGAGGUGAGAUAUAAUCUACCCAUCUAAAAAAGAGCUUUGGGGGGUUUGUGUUGUUCAAACGUACAGUAUAAGCAGCUUCUGCGAAUUUAUGCAACGUGGCAGCCUCCUGGAGAUGAAACGCUGGAGCUUCUAUACAGUCUUCAUGCGAUUCAGGAAACUGGCUAUUGUUCUGCAACAGAGCAAGGCCUGAAAUAGACGAAGUGAUUAGAGACUUUCUCCACAUUGUUUAUUUCCUAAAUAGACUAAAAGUUUCAGAUCUUAUUAACCUGCUAAAAACUCCAGGUGGCCAGUGCCUGAUGCACGAUAUGAAACAAGAUCACCUAGCAGUCUUGCAACUGAACACACUUCGUCUUCCUCAAUAACUCCCCUGGAGCAGAGAAACAAAUUCUAAGAGUCUGAACAAAGUAAACUUGCUAUAGACAAAAAAAAUAAGUUUCAAAAAUUAGGACAAGAUAUAGUUGUCGUUCUAGAGUUUUGCACACAAAUUAAGAAACUAGUUAAAUGUUCAAAUUUGCCCAUUAUAAUUGCAUAACAUUUAUUGAAAUCAAAUUAAAAGAAAAAAUUGUAUUGCAAUCAUAAAAAUACACUUAUUUUUGUUACAAAAAUUUUAUGCUACAACGACACUUAAUUUGAAAUGGAGAGAGUAUUCACUAAAACUUACAUAUAUUCGCGACGCCCAAGACAGCACAAAACCUCACGAAUCCCAUGGUCAAACACCUCCUGGUAAUGAGCUUUCCAGGCAUCAUCUUGAGUUGCGUAGAAAGACCGCCAUUGCAGUAUAUCUGAUCCGGUAAAGCAUUGAGCCAACGCAACAAAGCAGACAGUGAUCAAGAAGGCAACCUGCAGCGUUUGCUUCCACCCACGCGUGUCUGAAGAUAGCCCUGAGCAAAAGAAAGUUACCAAAAGAGGUUCUUAAACAAGAAAAAAGUGAAAAAAAAAAACAAUUACAUAGCUAUACAACUGAACUACAAAAUAAAGCUUCAACUUAUAUGAGGCCAAACAAGAUUAGAACUGCCCAAGUAGGUGACUUUAGACAGCCAAAUCAAUUUAAAUUUGUGUCUUAUAAGUUAACUGAACUACAAAUAAAGCUUCAACACAGAGGAAAGAUAGAUAGCCUCAUAAAAUAUUUAUGAAGAUUCUAACUGCCUAAGUACGCCAAUUUAGACAACCAAAACAAUUUAAAUUUGUAUGUCUUUUUAAGUUUUUACCUAAAACGCAAUGUCUUGGCAAUCCAUCAGGGGAAACAAAGGUGGAGACACGGAACAUAAGGUAAGAUGCACCAAUAAAUUGCAGUAGAGUAAUUACCAUUGCAAACCGUGUCCACCACAGCCACGUCUUAUACUUCAUCUGCAAACCCACAAAGUAAAUGAACUAUUAAACACUAAAGAGAAAUGUAUAAUCAAAGAAACAAUUACAUCAAUAAAGGCGACACCUUUCCUUCAAAGACUUGAUUUUUAAAAACGAAAAUUCACAAUUUAGAGAAAAAGGCGUUACCUUUCGUUCGAGGCUGUAAUGAGUAGGAGAAUCCAUGAUGGUCAUAGCCAUGAGCUCCUGUGUAGACCCGACCUUAACCAUAACGGCGAGUUUGACGCAGGCGGCUACGCAAACGGCGUAGAGGGGGAAAAGCUGGGCGGCGCUGUCGCAAUUUGAGUUGGAGACGAGAGUCAGGACACCGCCGGAGACGAUUAUUGCCGAAUUGGCAAUGCCGAGAACGAUUAUCGUUUUCCUAACUCUCUUCAACCUCGAAAUCCACAUGAUUGUUUGGGUGAUUGUUCCGGUGGUGGUCGUUGUCGGAGAUUAGAAGGUCAAUGUCUCGACGGGCAAGGAAGCACGAAGAGACAUCUCCGAGAGAAAUCCGCACACGGAUCUCUGUCGAUUUUGUUUCAGAUAUGUUUUUUGAGAGAAAAACAAUCUGAUCUUCGGACACAGUUGGAAUCUAUGUCCGAACGAAAUAAAAAUAAAUAAAUAACACGGAACACUUUAUUAAAAGUUAGUUAUAACUUAUAAAUACUAUUAUAUGGUUGGCUUGGUCCCAAAAUUAUAUUUCAUGACUAAUUAUUCCCACGUUACAUGAUGAAUUAUCUGAGUUGGCCAAAGAUUGGAGUUAAUUUUACCAAUAUUUGUUUGUUUUUUUUUGUAACAAAGAAAUAUUUGUUUUAGCGAUAAAAUAAAAACCUUUUAAGGGAGAAACUACUUUUUUGUUAUAUUAAAGAAAACAGAGAACUGUGAACAGAGCAGUCUCUCUGAGAAAGCACAGUUUUGGAGUGGUUUUUUAUGUGCAUGAAGAGGCUGAAGAGAGCCAUCAGUCAUUAGAUUGAGAUCGAUCUUUGUCAACGUUAAUAUGACCAGACACAGAUGAAUACAAAUGGAUCCCGAGUCAACAAGUACAUGAGGAGAUGGCCAUGAAAGGAAGGGAGCUCGGGUUCUAAGCUUAUCAACUCACAGGACUAUAAGUACCAUGUUUUCAGUGUGGCCUCUAUUCACCAGAUUUAUAUAUAUGGGUAUGCUUUGGCAACAAGGUUGCUGAAAGUUCCUGAAUUUCAAUCCCCACCAAGGGUUUCAACCACACUGCAUUGUAAUCGCGAAUCAGAAGAUAUCAGCUCUAGAACCUCGCGGAUAUAACCGUUCUCCACAUGGGCACUGUCACCGGCCAUGAACACAUGUGUCCGAUCAUCAAUCUCUAUAGAACUAAACCCAGGCUGCUUCUUUAGACCUAGACCUUUCAUCUUCCUUCUCAUCUUACUUGCUCCUUCCCACUGUCCAUCAGCAGCAUACAUGUUCGAAAGAAUCACGUAGUUAGAAUGCCCCUUCACUUUAAGCUCGCUAAGACGCUUCAUCAUCCUCUCCGCUAGCUCUGUAUCGUUCCCAUGAGUCCUGCAGGCUGCAAGCAACGACCCAAUCACAACUUCAUUAGGCUUCAUCGGCAUGCUCUCUACCACCUUCAAAGCCUCUUCCAGUCUCCCAGCACGGCUAUACAAAUCCACUAAGCAUCCGUAGUGUUCAAUCCGAGGCGAGAUUCUGUAAUCCCUUUUCAUAGCUUCGAAAUAUCCAACACCUUCUGCAACUAAACCUACAUGACUACAAGCAGUUAACGCCCCUGUGAAAGUCACCGCGUCAGGCUUAAACCUUUCUUCUUGCAUUCUUCUGAAGUAGACCAAAGACUCAUGCGCAUGCCCGUUAGCAGCAAAACCAACAAUAACAGAGUUCCACGAAACCACGGUUCGUUUCUCCAUCUCAUCAAAAACCUGUCGAGCAAACUCCACACACCCGCAUCGACAAUACAAAUCAAUCAGCGAGUUACUAACCCUCACAUUGUUCUUAAAAUCCUGACUCACAACAAAACGAUGCACCCACAAUCCAAAAGAUAAAGCACCAAGGCUUGUGCAAGCGGCAAGAGCAGAGAUAACAGCAACGUAAUCUGGCUUCACUCCAGAGACUUGCAUCUCACGGAACCACGCCAAAGCUUCCUCGUGCAAACCCUUUUUAACAAACCCGUUUAUCAUAGCCGUCCAAGAAAUCAAGUCUCUCUCAGGCAUUUCGUCGAACACCUUUGCGGCGUCGUCGACUCGGCCGCUCCUCAUGUAUCCGUCGAUCAUUGUGUUCCAAGUAACCGAAUUUUUAUCUUCAAUGCGAUCGAAAACAAGCCUAGCCUUCCUAAAACGACGGCGUUUGGAGUACAUGCCGAUGAUCGCGGUGCCGACCAUGACGUGGUUUCUAUCGAGGCCAAGUUUACAAGCGUACCCGUGAAGCGAAACGCCCAAGUCUUCGCAAUCACCGCAUCCGGAGAGCAGAGCGAUGAAAGUGAUGUGGUUAGGCUCGACGCCGGCGAGUCUCAUGGCGGUGAAUUCCUUCGCUGCCUCGGCUAAUCGGCCGUUGCGUGAGAGGAGAGUGAUGCGAGAAGUCCAUGAGACUGUGGUUUCAGAGGUAGUCUUUGGAUUGGUGUGGUUGUUGCGAGAGAUGAAAGGUAUCUGUUGCGGUGGCGCCGGCGACGGGAUUCCGACGGCGGGAAGGAGGGCCAUUGGAUAUGUGCUAAACCCGAAUUUGGAUUAAGAAGACCGAAAAUGUAAACCGGGAAAACAGAUUUUUGUUUGGUUUUAUAUUACCCGGUCUUUAUGAACCGGAGAUUAUUGCAUUUUGGAUAUUUUAAACCGGGAUUAACCGGAUCGGAUUAUUAGCAACCCAACAUUAAUUUCGCAUCUGCGAAGGCUUUUGGAUCUGUUGAUGAGAAAGAGAGGAUGGAGAUGGCUCGAGCUUGGUCGAAGAUGAUGGUGACGGUGAUGAUCUUGAUGCUCACAUCGACGAUCUCAGCGAAAGAGCAGCUGAGCACUAAAGAGUGCGAGGAUCUAGGAUUCACCGGCCUUGCUCUCUGCUCCGAUUGCCACUCGCUCUCUGAAUACGUCAAGGACCAAGGUUCGUUCCCUUAUAUGCGUGGCUGAUUGAGUAUACACUUGAUAUGAAUCUCGAUUCGGGAUGUGUGAUGAUCUGGAAUCUAGAAUUGUGGAUUAGGAUUGCUUAAGAUAAUUUUUAGAAAUCAAGAGUGUAUGUAAUCUGGAACAGUUAAGAAGAGACGAAUAUCUUUAGUUUAUGAACAACGUUGGAGGCUAUCGUAUUGUAUACAUCAAUGUGUCUGUAUCACGUGAAUCAAACUCUUUUGAGGGAUAUCAUAUUGCAUACAUUAUGUUUAUAUUAGUAUUGUGUACUUUGCAGAGUUGGUAUCUGAGUGCUUGAAAUGUUGCGCUGAUGAUUCUGAGGAUUCCAUGAGUAAGGUAUGAUUUUCAAACUGGAGAUAGAUUAGAGAUGGAGACAGCAACACUCAUUGAAUGAAGAUGAGGAGAGUGAUGACUCGCUUACACUUUUUGUUUUUCUUUUCGCGACUGUAGGUUACUUAUUCAGGCGCUAUAUUGGAGGUGUGUAUGAGAAAGCUGGUUUUCUAUCCUGAGAUUGUUGGUUUUAUUGAAGAAGAGAAACAAAACUUCCCUACCCUUAAAGUUGAGUACGUUUUCAACUCACCGCCCAAGUUGAUCAUGCUCGAUGGAGAUGAUGAACGUAAGGAAACUAUAAGGUAAAAUUUGCUUUCCCUCUCUUUCUUCAACCCUUUUUGCUCUGGAAUAGUCUGAAUUUGUGAGCUCUUAAUUUAACAAAGAGUUUUGGUAUUUGAAUCGAGUUUAUCUGACUUCAAGGUAACUUAAUAGGCUAAUAUAUUCAUGUUAGCAUGGUAGAUAAAUGUGUAAAUGCAACUAUCUAUCUAUCCACAUCAAUUUUGAAUUUCACUCUCUGGAUGCUCUGGUACAUUGUCCCAUAUGAUUACUGAAACUUCUACUUUUGAAAAUUGGUUUUUGGAGGAAGUUACUAUAAUUAUCAAGGAGGAUGAAUAAAUCAAAGCUAGUGAUGUGUUUGACCUCUUAUCCACAUUUAGUAGAAGGGCUACAUUCCCUACAAAGUUGUAACUCCUUUUUUGUUUCUCGAUUUUCUUGCUUUGCAGAAUUGACAACUGGAAACGCGAGCAUCUACUCCAGUAUAUGCGGGAGAAGGUCAAGUCUGCUUCAUCAAGUUAGUGUAAUCACUCUGAAUGCCUGUGUCAAAGCACUGUGAUCUAAUAGUUAAAUAACAUAUUGUGAUCGACUUGUCUUUAUUUUCUCCAUGCUAUUUGUUCCCUCAUCAUCAGUAGUCUGUAUGUUCUGAACCUUUGCAAUCUAAGUAUUGAUGCCUUCUUCCAAUGUUCUUAUGAAAGAGUAACGUGAAUCUUUUUAUCGUUUACUUGGCUGUUUAGUAUAAUUACAAGCAAAAUCCAUCUCACUUCUUGUGUUAUAACGGAUAGCUUUCGUAAGAUCACAACAAAAACUAAGAUAUCUGAGGCAAUCUUUGGCAUAAAAAUUACUUAGCAUUAGAAUCGUUUGGUUUAUGUUUAGGCAAAUUACAUAAUAAGCUGGUCAAAUAAGAAGUCGAAUAGUAAACAGCCAUCACCAACUCUGAGCUGUUCUAAACCAACUUCAUGCGUCUCUGGAGUCUGGUCUAUGUAUGUUACACAUGCAUCAUCUAAACAAUACAGUUGACCUUCUCUUUUAAGCUUAAGACAAAGAUCUUAGUAGAGGUUGGGAAGAGUCGAAUCAGUCAUCUAAAGGGUGACUGAGACUUGACACCAAAAGCUGGAGAUGGAGGAGUCUUCACGGGCGCCCAGAUAUCGGCCCCGUUGCUUUGAGCAACUCCUGCUGUAUACUCCAUUGGAACAAGACAUAAUCCUCUGUUUCUCAGGCUGUACUGCUCCAGCUCCUCCUGUAAGAUACCCAAAGUUAGUUCAGAUCAGAGUGUGAAGCAUUGCAUUUGCAAGAUGAUCAGAUUGUGAUAGUGAACCGGGAAUAAAUGUGUUUACCUGCGUAGCAGCGGUCAUUGUUUGCAGAUACGGAGCGCUUAGCACCUGCACAAGAAGAACAUGACGUUUUCUUAAGUAAGAAGAUGAAAGAAUCAUGGUUGGUAAAUGGUAAUGGUAUUGAACUGAUAUGAAGAGAAAUGGGCAGACCUUCACUUGUUCAUGUAGAAACUCUAUGUAGUGCAACGCGUCUUGAAGAACUGAUGCAGUGUCGGUCUGUAGCAUGGAGGAGUCAAAUGAGAUUAAAGAAAAAAAAUAUGUGUGGAGAUUUUAAUUUUCUUAACAGAAGAUGUUACCUUUCCGUAAGGGGAAACUAUCUGUUGAAGAGCUGAGAUACGGUCUCCAGCUUUGUCCUUUCUCUGCUGUUUAAACCAUUUAAGAGAACAAAGAUGGAAGAAUCAUUACCAUGUUGCACUCUUGUGAGAACUAGGUUUAAGCAAUACCUUGGAACUGAAAGAGAGAUCAGACUUAUGGCGCUUGAUGCUAUUUUCUUCAAGAGAACAGACAUUCUGCUUAUUUUCCAUCAUCAUUCCAGCUUCUCUAGAGAAUUCCAUCCCUCUGUGACUCUGUCAAUGAAAAACACAUCAAGAAAUGUGAAAACUCAUCAACGGUACAUGGUUAAUAUUAUAUUACUACAAGAGGAAGACAUUUCACAAGAGGGUUAACAGACCAAGAAGAUUACAAGAUCUAUAUGACUGAAGAUCUAUGUAUUGAACAAAUCAAUGCAUUUGGGAGACAGGAUAUGGAUUUGAGGAAAUUUAGCCAAGACAAAGGUUUGGUCAACGAAGUAGGCAAGGACCUUGUGGUCAGAGGCUAAAGCCUGCAGAGUUCACAUCAGCUUAAGUAUUAUUUUAAGGAUUCGUAAGCACAAUUAUAAGCUCAAACAGAAUAUCUUAUGAUAACUUGCUUAAAAUAUUUCCUUAAUACACAUAAACUGACAAUAACAUCUUAUCUGCAUGAAUCACUUUCUUCCCUUAAAAACAGGAGAAAACCCCAAACAAAAACAAAACAAAAAUCCUCCACGCAACAAAGGAGAACAAAUACACUUUCCUCAGGGGAUUAUUGAACUAACUUAAACAAUAAAAUAACUUAUACUCCGCUACAGUAAAUUAACUAUCUGAGUAGAAAGAAACUGUAGAACAUUAUCAAGAAGCUAAUCUAGCUGAAAGUCAGCACCAAGAAGAGGAGAUAGAGAAAUAAAUAUGCUACAAGUUUGUAUAACUAAAGAAACAGAACAGAGAGAGAGAGAGAGAGGCUCACAAACUGGCAGAAGAGUAUAAGAAAAAUAUAUUUUCUUCAAGAACACACCACCCACAACUUCUCAAAGCUCCAAUUUUAUUCCUCAAAACCCUAAAAACAACUGUAGUAUUUUUUGUCCUUCAGCUUCUUGACAACACCAAAACCGAUAAGACACAAAUGUUUCUCCCUCUAUCUCUCUCUAUGUUUUGUGAUUUCUCAGUCCAAAAGGAAAACUCCAAACCGUAUUACAUGAGAAUCUUUUGGCAGGUGAUGAAGAAGAUGACCUCAGACAGACUGAGUGAAAAUGGUGGAGUCGUUUCUUUAAAAAAGGGAUUAGAGUAUUCGCAAAAAUCUCGGCGUUAGAAGAGGGGAGAGAGAAGACACUGUGAAUGUAUGUAUAUAUGCUAAAAGAACAAGGAUCUACUACCAUUUCACAACUUUUGCAAACUUUUAUAAAGUUCUAACUAGAGAGUAAAGACUAAUUCAAGUUACAAAAAAAAAAAAAAAAAAAAGAGUAAAGACUAAUUCCUAAUUAAUUCAGACUAAUUGCAUUAGGAAUAAAUAAAUACUACUGUUUAACGUUAAAACUUUUUUUACUUAAAGUGAAUACUGUUCCUGGAAAACAUUUGAUUGAUAUUUUAUCGUAUAGUAAUAUUUUGACAGCUAUUAUGCAACCCAUAGGGAUGGAGAAAGGUCCUAGCUAGAAGUUAUAGAGUUCGAAGUUAUAUCACUCCCCCAGGUAGAAUUCGCUUUUAUUAUUAUUUUCCACACUAGUCAUCAUUAUCAUCACUAUAGCUAGCAUGUAGCCUUAUUUUUCUUUGUUUUGACAGUGACAUUUGAAAAGUUAUUUUUAAUUUGUCAAAACAUUUGACCAACUCUUAUCUUUUCCUUUCAACUUUUUUGCCUCUCUCUUUCUUUUGAAUUUUGCUCUCUUUUUUCCUCUUUGAAAAUUAACCUCAAAAGUCAUUUCAAACAGAGAGAGAGAGGUUAACGCAUCUGAAUACAGCCAGUACAAUUCUCUGAGUUGUUGAUAUUUCAAGGUAAAAUUAUAAAUCAAUCAAUCAAUCGGUUUCACAAUGAAAAGAAAACAUGAACAAAUGAAAACUAAAUAAAGAGAAAGAAAACAUCAAUUCUUUACAAAAUAUAGUACAGUGUCACUCACUUUUACAUUAUUAUUUUCAUAAAAUAUGCUACACGUAAUUAAAUAUGUAUCAAGUGAGAAAGAGAGAGAAAGUAGAUCUGCGGUGGUUUCGGCGUUCGGUCGGCGCGUGAGCGUCCGUGCCAACGCCGGAGUCCGUCGUCCUUCAGUUUAAUAGUUUCGGAAUUGUCUUCUCCUCAUCUCCUUCAGUGGCCGCCUUGUCUGACCUCUGGCCAAACAUCCACCGUGGUGGUUCUGAUCUUGGAGUGAAGACGCGGUUACUUGGAGGGUUGGCGCGGUGAAGAUGAUAGUUGGUUGGGUCCUGUUUCCGGGAGGUGGAGGCUUCCACAGCUUCGCCGCCGCCGGUUCUUGUCGCCGCGAGGUGGAAGCUUCUUCAGUUUCGCCGUAGUCGGUUCUAGUCGCCGGGAGGUGAAGGCUACCACAGCCUUGCGUCGUCGGCUGUAGGUAUAUCAGUGGGUUUGUUUAGGGUUUUUAGGAUCCGUUCUUUAGAUCUGGUUGGUUGUCUUGCGGGUUUAGUGUUUGAGAGGUUGGGCCUUGUCGGAGGAGCUCUCGAAGAGUGUUGAGGCUCUCCGAUGAGUUGAUGAAGCGAAGAAAAGAGAUGGUUUCGACGGAGGCUCUCCAGGUUAUGAGCUCCGGCGAAAGGAAGUGGCGGUGAUGUGGUACCGAUGGAGACCUGCGGCGAAGACGGUCAAGUCGAGAUGGUGGCGACGCGUGUCGUCCUGAGAGUUUAGAUGCUCACACGUGUUCAGUUGCCACCCUCCUUGUUGCGUAGUUCGGCCGACGUCGUUCGGGAGUUAAAUGGUUGGGCCGACGGCCCGUUAAUGGAUUCGGUUUUAAUGUUUUGGGCCUGUUGCCUUUUAGUUGUAUCUGGGCUUCGGAAUAUGUUAUCUGGGCUUGGCCCGUUUUCUUUAAUUAAAAAUUAUCCAGACGGAAAAAAAAAAAACAAUGUUUGAUGCAAAAAAAAAAAAUUAAAUAUGUAUCAAGUAGUAUCCGUAAAUUAAUCAUAAGUAUUAUUCACAAGAGAAUUAGAUGUAGAGUGAUAAUAAAUAAGUUAGAUUUGAUCAUAAAUAGCUUAAACUAUUGAAGUAACUGAGAGACGAGUAAGACAACUUUAAGCUUGUCUGACGUCAAUGCAAACACGCACAGAGAUUCAGACACGCUCACAAGACGCGCGCGCGUGCGCAUAAAUAUCAUAAACUCGCGCUUUGAAAUCAUUCACGUUUCAGGGGUUCAAAAGAAUCGCGUUCUAAAACGCAGAGUAGGUUAAAUAGAGAUUUGUGGGGACAGAUGCAGAGACCGUGCGUCGCAAAAGUCCAAGGAAUCAGCGGUUUCUUCAAAAGGUUAAUGGGCCCCAACGCGUUUUUGGUCUUUGUCUCCAUGUCACUAUCUUCUUUUGUCCUUUUUUUUUCUAUCUUGUGGCGACCGGAUUAGGUAAUGUACUAUUACCUCAUAUGUAAUGGGUUAAUGUUAGGCUUUAGCUUUUGUAAUAAGUUAAAUUUUAGUUGGGCUUCGUUUGAAAGCAGCCUGUAAUGUUUUUGGCCUUUUAAUUUUAAUGAACCUUUUGUGGAGAAAAAAAAGACUCCAAAAAACAUAAGAAUUCAUUAAUCUUCAACACCAUAAUGAGUUAUGGAUUUCAAGUCACAGAAAAAAAAUUUCUUACAUGGUGCAAUGAAUAUCAAUAUAUCAUCAAACGUAAAUUUCAUAAGAUAACUUGAAAUCAAACGUGAAUUCUAAUCAAAUAUGUAAAAUUAUCAGUUGUAUAAUCAAUCUUUUUUUUUUUUUUGGUAAAAAUGUUAAAUUCAUUACCAGUUUUCAAUUUUUUAUAGACAAACAUAGAUGACAAGAAGCAGAAUACAGAAAAUAAAAUCUAACAGAAACUCAAACCUAAUGUUACAGAGCCUAUCUACAAGAAUAACAGCAGUACACAAAAGAAAACAUCAGAGACAGAACACUCGCUUGCCGCAGAAAUCAAACCCGCAAUUAAACCGAGAGAUUGGACCCGGGAGAAAUUGGCGAACCGCGGUGACCAACUCUUAAUGAUCGGGUUGUCAAAAACAGCUCGCUAAGACCAUCUAAUCUGCGACCUUCAUGGACAAACUGCUAGACUCGUGACCAAGGACACCUGCAUUGAGAAGGUUGAGCUUUAUUGGAGAAGGAGCACCCACAAGCCGCCACACGCUAUCGAACCUGCAUCAGAAAGACAUAAACAACAACCUCCACCCUUAAGGCAAAGCGGACCUGAGACAGCCCUAGAUCAGCCUCAAAACCCUGCUAUCUCAGCACGUGCCGCCACCAAGGAGAUGAGCCACGGUUGACAAGACCAGCAACUCAUCUCUUCGCACACGCCCCUGCGACGGAGAACCCGCCGUAGACCAUUCUGACUUGGAAACGAAAGCAGCUCGAGGAAGCCUCUGAGAGGAAGAUUGACCGGCCCAAAAAGCACGUUGCUGGAGACCACCGAGACAAGGGGAAGAAGCACCGCAGCUCCACCGUCUAAGGGAUCCAUGACGCCUUCAGCCAAGCUAAUCCACUCACCCAGCCGAGAAGAGCAAGCAAAGAGGGCAAGAGGAAGGAGAGAGAUCUCACAACCAAAGUCCAGAUCUGACACCAGAUCCAAACCCCCGCCACUCAACGCACCCAGAGGAACCGCACAUCCACUCUCCGCCCUGCUUCUCCGGAGAUCCAAGUCCGACGCGCCAGAUCUGACCCAUACGGAAGCGCAAAGACACAGAACCACCGAAAAGGAAACAGAGGAGAGGAGAGAGAGGAGAGGCGAAGAGGGAACAAAAACAAAGAGAGGCGGGCGACCAGCGACUAAGGAGGAGGAGGAGCGCCGCCGGCCACCCAAACGUGAAAAAUUAGGGUUUUAUUCUAGAGAGGAUUGUAGAGAGAGAAAACUUUAUUUUUACGUCAGGUAGAAUGAUCUUGUAUAAUCAAUCUUUGUAAUACUUCUCAUAAUAACAUAAUUGAUUAUCGUAAAAAAUUAAAAAUAUAAAAAUACCACAAGUUCUUAGCAUUUUUUAUUUCCAACCCCUUGAAUUUACCUUUACACCCUUUGUGUUGUGUUAUCAGUGAUUCUUGUUACUCUCUUCUCUUUGAAGACACUCCUUAAGUCCUCUAACAAUCUGUUGCAUGGCUGGCCUCUCAGCAACGUUCUGCGAAACAGAGGCCAAAGCAAGCUCCACAAUUUUCCAAACAGAGUUGGCAUCAAAAUCUCCCCCCAUUUUAGAAUCAACAACGUUGCUCACAUCAUUAGUAGACUUCAAGAUGGAUAUCACCCAAUCACUCACAUGCACACGCUUCGUCUCUGACUCACUGAUCACAGCUUUGCCUGUAAUCAUCUCCAAUAAAACAACUCCAAAGCUGUAGAUGUCACUCUUCUCGUUUAAUUCAUUUGUUUUAAAGCAUCUGCACAUUAUUUUAACAAACAGAACACAAUCAACACAAUAUUUAUUAUAUAUAUCUUAUAUAGGAUCGAUGGUCAACUUUGGACCGAAUCCAUUUUAUAUAUUAUUUAAGAUCUCUUGCAAUAUCCAAUGUGGUAGACUUUGUAAUAGAGAGAGAACUAACAGUGGAUCAAGAUAUCCAGGAGUUCCAGCGACAAGAGUGGACACGUGAGAACGGCUCUCUGUCUGAAAACUCCUAGAGAGUCCAAAAUCUGCAAGCUUUGCUCUGUUGUUCUCGUUCAACAAUAUGUUCGAUGUCUUCACAUCUCUGUGAACUAUCGCAGGUUUGCAUCCACUGUGAAGAUACUCCAGCCCUUGUGCUGCAUCAAGUGCAAUCUGAAGUCUUUGUCUCCAGCUCAAGGAAUGGUCAUACUUCCCUGAGAGAUGAUCUGCCAUGUUUCCAUUAGCCAUGAACUCAUAGACGAAUCCCAUUUGAUUAGAUUCAUGGAAAUAGCCGAUCAGUGCAGUGAGGUUUACGUGAUGAACCCUCACAAGUACUUCAACCUAUACAAAUAUAUGUUGUUAGAGUCAACCUUAAUGGUGGGAAUGCUCAUUUGAAUAUCUUUUAUAUUUGUUAUUAUUGUUUUAAAUUUUCAUUUUUACAACAAAAUUAAUUUCUAAAACCAUGACAUGUGUCUUUGUAGUAUGUAAAGAAGUUUUUUGAAAUACAAGUUCUCAAAGAUUUGUUCCUUCUUCUUAAUUUUAAAUUUUUUAAUUAUUAUUUUGUGGAUAUACUUUGGCUAAGGAAUCAAGUACAUUACCUCAGAGCGAAACUCUUUGAAUCCUUGAGCUGAUGAUUCUGAUAAAAGUUUAACUGCUACUUGAAGGUCGUUAUAGUAGCCAUGGUACACUGUUCCGAAACCUCCUUUACCAAGGACACGGCCAAAGUUAUUUGUCAUCUUUACAAUGUCUGGAAAGGUAAGAAGUAAUGUGUUUGAAUCCGCCUUAGGACGGUUUCUUGUUUCGCUGUCUGUAUCUUGUUCCACUGUCGCAAAAAUAAAGUUGAACAGUUGGUAAUGUGAUAAGCAGUUAGAUAGGUAUGUCAAUAGACUGUUACCUGGCUUGUUACUUCGUUUCUUGAUCUUCCAAAACACACCAGAUAAUAGCAAGAGAAUGAACAAUGCUGCCAAUGAUGCGCCAACCGCGGUUAUGAGUGUUUUUUUGUUGCUUUUUACGCAAGAAAUCUCGGUACAUAGGCCUGGAUUGUCUCCAACCUUUAGCAAGAGUGGUCCGCUCAUUGAUCUUCUUAAUAAGUCAGAUGGAACUGAACCUGUUAGCUUGUUCUUCUCUAGAUUCCUGCAGGUGUUAUUAAGAGUUAGAGCCUGUCUUUUAUCGAUCUAAUCUGUUAUGACAUAACUUACAAAACCCUCAAGAACUUCAGUCCUGACAGGGACUCUGGUAUGUCUCCGGUUAAGUCAUUGUUUGAUAAGUCUCUGCCAAUUAAGAAGAUAAAUAGUAGUUUAAUUCCUUGUUCAAAUCAAGAAACUCUUUAACAAUAUAAAGAAAGAUAAACUCACAGCUCUUCAAUCAUUGUGAGGUUAGAGAAAGAGGGAGAUAUGUGACCUGUUAACCCGCUCGAAGAUAAGUUCCUGAAUCCUUUAAGCAAUCAAUAUACAAAAUCUAAAGAUUGAACAAGAACAUAUGAGGACAAAACUACACUUACAGUAAUGUGAUUCUUGGAGGAGCAAAACUAGUAUCACUGCAGUUAAGUCCCUCCCAUAUGUAGCUAUUAGGCAAACAAGGAUCUCCUUGCCAGUUUCUCUUCACUUUAUAACUCAUCUUUAUACUCGUAACCGCGUCAUCUGUACAUUUUAACUGAAACCAUUGAUCAAACUAUGAUUAAAAGAUUGAAUUAGUUUAAGUCAUCUUACAAGCACGUACCGUCGUCUUGGCUAGUAAGAGACUGCGAGUAAGUAUUGCCUACGUAGAUCUCUAGAGCAUUAAUAAGCGGUGGAAGCGUAGACUGGGGGGUUCUCUCGAGAGUAAACCUAAUAUCUGUUUGGCUCUCAGGCGUCAGAACAAAAGUGUCUGACCGAAGAUACUUGGGACUGAAGUCAGCUAGUGUCUCCCCGUUAAUGCGGAUAUGGAACUCUCUUGUCUGGUCAGGUGUGAGACUGAGAUCCUCGACCUCAGCGAAGUGCAUGUAAACAAAGUACCUGACGGUUGGAUCACUGUUCUCCAAAAUCAUAGUGAUGGGGCUUGUUGCGUUUGUGGGAGUCAGUGCUGUGCUCAUCACCGAGCUUGGAAGGUUGUAACUAUUACUAUUGCCUGAAAUAACUGGACGUGAUGUAUUGAUCUCUCUAUAUUGUGUCCCCAGUUUGCGAGGAAUCCAGAUUCGGUCAUAUACAUCUUCACUAUACCUGAUUUUUUUUAAAAUAAAACAUUCCCAACUUUAUUACAGUGUAGGUAAAGAGCUACAUAAACAGAGAAUAAAUAGAAACAGAGCAAGAAACAGAGGAUGGAACAGAGAGUAUGAAACAGAGAAUAAGUAGAAACAGAGCAAGAAACAGAGGAGGAAACAGAGGAUAAGUAGAAACAGAGUAUGAAACAGAGAGCAUAAAACAGAGGAUGGAACAGAGGUUUACCUGAUAUGUUGUGAAUCAUUGAGAGAACCAAAGUUCCAGCGUCUGGAGAAGAACAGAGCACUAUUUGGAGAAUCGUACGUCGUGUUGUCGUUACCGAGAAAUCUCAGCUCUAGAGUCGAGAUAAAUGGAGUUCCUUUACCUUUGUUUCCCAAACAGACAAAGAUUUUCUCAGACUGGCUCAAGUAAACAACUUCUUUGGUCACUGGGAGGGGUGUGUUGUUAAAGGACAGAUUUGUCCAGAGACUGCCACCAAGAAACAGAUCAAAUUCUGGUGAACUGUUUUCUCCGCGUAGUUACCGUACAAGAAACUGGUUCUUAUCAAGUACUUCUUACCUUUCCCCUGUUCUGGAAUCAGAGUGUAACAGUUUCUUGAACCUUCAGGAAAGCUCCUCAGGUUCUGAAGCUGUCUUUGAGCAGCGAAGGAGAGCGUUUUAGAGACUCCGGUUUCAACAAAGGAUGAAUCAGAGACGUAGUUAAUGCCCGUUGUGUCGUCUGUGUAGGAUGAUCCACUUGGGAUCCCACAGUCAAUGCUUAUGAAACCUGUAAGAUUAUACAUUUUCAUAAAACAGGAUUAGACUUUCUUCAUUUCAACGACUCUUAGAGAUUAAAUAAUCAGUUGAUAAAUUAUAACCUGAUUGAUCCUGGGAAAGAACUGAAAUGACCAAACACAGUGCAAGAUAUACCAAAAAUGGAAAACGAACGUUUCCCAUUUUAAUCUGGCUUUUGAGAAAAGGCAACAAGAAAUGGGUUUGAGAUAUGUGAUGUGAUGAAGUUUGAAGUUCUGUAUUUAAAGAAAAAAAAAAUUGUUUUGGAGGUAAACUCUGAAGACCAAAAACAUAAACAAAUUGGAAGUUAAGUGAUUUAUAUUAGCUACUUGCUCUCUCUGUGACUUAGCAAAGUCAAUGAGAGAACUCAGCUGAUGUUUUCAAUAUAUAAACUAAAGUAUUUUUUUCAGUAUAAACUAGCAAGUAGCAAAUAUAUAUUUUCAGUACAUAACUCUAACUUAAAAUAUGUGUUAUACAUGACUAGCAUGAUCUUUAUUAUCUUCUGUCUGCCUUUAAAGUCUUCUGAGACUACUUUGAUAUGAACAACACAUUGUAUACAAAAAAAAAAGAAUUGUAUGAUGAUGAGAAAACUUCUUUACAACACUGUCAAAGAUCAAGACUCAGCAUGUAUAUAACAAAGUAACCAACAACAUGGUGAAGACAACAUUUGUUCCAAAACCACUAUGGUGGGCCUUGUUCAUGACACAUAGUCUUUAUCCCUAUCCCUUGUAUAUAUUUACACUUCAAUGACUCUAAAACCUAUCUUAUAUCAAAGCAGAACGGCGUGAAGAAUAGAAUGGACCAAGACUUCUUUUAGCAGCUGUAGUAACGUUUUCCGCAAGCAACCUCCAUUUAGACUCUUCUCUCUUGCUAAUCUUCUUCAUCUUCUCCUUGAAGUUCCUACAAGUUAUAAAAGAAAUGAUUACAAACUGUUUAUAUAACAUUCGAAGGAUCUGUUACUGGAACUUACCGGCAGAGAGGGACCUCGCAAGAAUCAGAACUACCACAGAGACAAGAGUGAAGCUGAAUAAGCUGCCACAUCCUUUUACAAUGACCACACGAAGCCCUAGCAGACUUGCAUCCCAAGAAAUGUCUAAGCCCACCUUCAACACCUUUACAAGCCGAGAACUCACACACAGCUUUGCUUCCCUUAAGCGCUUUACCUCGAGGCCCUAUCGUCCCACAACCUUCUCUAUAUAUAUGAACAAGAGCCUCCACAGCUUCAUAAAGCUCCAAAUACAUUCUCCUCUCCUCCACCUUCUUCCUCCUCUCUUUCUUCCUAGCGUCUGCCUCCACCACCGCCUCAAGAAGCUCUUGCUCUAGCUUACGAUCACCUCGCGUCAUCACCUUCCAUCCUUCCGUUGAAGAUACAGACUUAAAGUCUCUGAUGACCAUUGAAACGCAUAGAAAGCUGAUCCUCGCGGCGUCGCAGGUUCGAGCUAGCUGGAGCACGUCGAUGACAUUCUCCUUGUUGAUCCAUCCUUGACCGAGAACCUCUACGCAGACUCUUUUGAGAGAUGGGACCGAGUAGCAGUGUGAGAGAACCAACAAAGGGAGCACGUACUUCUUCAUGUCUUCCUCCUCGUAGCUGCAAGAGUAGAGAAACCGAAUGAACAUGUAGACAGCUUCUUGAGGCACUCCGAGGAACUUGAGGUGUGAAUUUCCUUUUUUGUCCCUUGACUGAUGUAGAAGCUGUGGCAUUACAGGUGAAGCUGCAGCCUACAUAAGAUGCAAUACAACCUUCUCUUAGCGUAUUACUUCUCUUAUAUGAGAUGAAAUAAGACUUUAUACUUACCAGUAUGUAUGAAUGGGCUAGAAAAUGAGAUUUGUUAUCGACUUCAACGUAUGUAUCUGCUCCAGUGCCUUCUUUGAAAAGCUUAUCCCAAGUUUCUAUUGUUUCUUGGGGCACAAGGCGUGAUGAUGAGCUCGAGGGUUUGCUUCUGGAAGCUUGGUAGGUUACACGAGGAAGAGGAGGAGGUUUUGGAAUAUUCUUGGCACAAGUAGAUACUUCUGAAGAAGCCAUUGAAUCAAAUCCCGCGACUUGAGAAUAGAUUAUGUUACAGUUCUUGAAUCUGCAAAGCAUCGACCACAAUGUCAAGAGUCGUACGUGAGAGCUAAGCAUCGACCAUAAAGUUCGAAACUUUGACACAAAACUGAUCAAAACAGAGGCAGAAACAGAGACUGUCACAGAACCAAGAAACGAAAGAACAGAGAAGCAAGAACGUUCAACAGAUGAAACUAUACGUAAAGAUUCUCAGUUUCGCAGUUCAUCAUUGCAAGAUAAAGUAAGCAAAACCCAGAAACUGUAACGAUCGAAAAGUGCUCAAACCCAACGAAGAACAGAGGAAGGGAGAAGAAACUGGAAGAGUCUUUGAUCAUUCUUACCCAGAAACAGAGACGACGACGUUUACCCAAUACUCGGCCGAGAUGAUAAAGAGUAUCUAGGUGAAGUUCAUAACCAUUACUCUUUCUUCAAUCACCACCAACUCAACGCGAUGCAGAGAAUGAUGAUCACAAUUGAAGAGCGAAGAAAGAGAAGUUUUUUUGGUGCCAAGUGGUUGGUUUCGUCCUUUAAGUCUAAAGCACACGGGAAGUAGCAAAUUUGCUUACUAAACGUCUGCCAAACGACGUCGUUAAUGAAGAAUUAGGAGUAUGGCAUUUUCUGACAUAAAGAACGAAAAAUUGAAGGCCACGAAUGAUUUUUAAAAAAGAAUAUUAUUAGCUUAAAAUGAUUUUGAGGGGAGAGAUAUUAUAAGGUUGAAAGACGUAUAUGGCUGAUCUUGAAUUGCACUAAAGACUAAAGUUAGUGCUCCUUGUCACCGCCAUUUUUGUAUUCUGUCUCUAUGCCCGGUAAGUUAAACUAAAUAGGUUUAUUAUUGGCACCUUAUCUUACCGACCAGCCGGUGGAAAAAUAGUACCGACCAGUCUAAUAAUAUGAUGGAUCCUUACUAGAAAUUAUAUAAGCGCAGAAUGUUCACUGUAAAAAGUAAAAUUAAUUAAGAAUGGUAAACAAAUUUAUCCAACAGAGUCAAAAUCAAGAACUUGGACUUUUGUAAAUAAGAUCUAUGAAUAUUACUGUAGGGACAACAUAUGAAUUGAGUGAUAUAAUAAGGUAGUGCUAACCAACUUUGUCACGGGUUUCGAGUGGACGGCGACGGAAAGUUCUUAAAACGGAGUGAUCAAACUCAAUAGUUUUAUUUUGCAGAAAUGUACUGUAAGCUUGGAAGAGCUUGGAGAUGACGGAUACAUGUGACUAGUCCAAUAAAAGAGCAACCGGCGUUAAACGACGUAUAUGUUUGCCUUCAAAUUACAUGUUAGUGUUACAGCUACGGGCCCAAAUAAUAGAACUAGAAGCCCAAUUAUUGGAUAUAAAAAGUACAUUAUCUUUCUUUUUUUUUAACGACAAACUAUUUUAUUAAUAUCAAACUGGAUUCAAAUGUUUACAUGAAACAUAAGAGAUAAACAACACAUUUUUAAGAAGAUUUUGAAAUUGGAAAAAUAAUAACACGUUGCUAUCUAACUCAUCCGUAGAAUAGGCUGAUACGCUAACUUUAUCCAUCUUCGUUCUCGGUCUUAGAUGAUCUUGUUUUUGGUUGUCAUGCAUUGUGACCAAAAGCCUCUUUUCUUUUCGAAGAUCAUUCGAUUGGAUCCAUCUGUUACAUCUCAAUCCGUCCUAUACACUUCCGCUGCAGGAGAUAACAUGUGUUGUUAUUGUCUUAACUCUCCAUGAUCUAGGUUUUCUCCCGAUUUGAAACCAACAAACACAAUAACUAAAGUACUCCACAUUGUGUUGAUGUUGUAAUAUAACCAUUGGACGCUGUUUCAGAACACUAUUUCCUUCAUCUUGGCCAUUACCAGACUCCUCCCAUUUUUUAUUUUUUGGUACAUUAUCUUUCAUAUUUUUUAAAUACUACCAUAAAGUUUUUUUUUUUCAUUUAAGAACUUAAAAGACCUUCAUUAAUAAUUUAGAUUUUAUAACUUUGAAAAUGUACUGUCUGAUAGUUAUUAGCGGAAAAAUGAUGUACAUCAACAUAGAGAAAUUUGUUAGCAUAUUAAAAAAAUUAUAUGAAAUAACGAAAAAUAUACAUAUCAUCACUUGAUAAACAUCUAGGGAGAUCCAAUAACACAUGUAUAAUCUGAUUACCAAAAAAAAAAAAAAAACACAUGUAUAAUCUAUUUGGAACUCUACUAUUUUACAUACUGAGAAUGUAUAUAAGUGAAACGAAGACUAGUCAAUAAUGUAUAACUGAAUGUUUUUAAUAUUCCUAUGAACAAAUAACCGUCGACCACUCAUAAUUCAAAUGAAAAUGACGGCAGAAUAUCUUGAGCCUCAAGAAAGAAGAGUCGCCAACGACUCGGGUCUCUUUUGGAGCAGGUCCAAAGGCAGUAAAGAGUUAAAUUAAUAGAAAAAAUAAAAAAGUAUGAGAGAUGUAGCUCAAAAAUUGCUCGAAUACAACAAUAGAACUCUUCUAGAUACUCUAAAUACAACUGUUAUUUUAUAAUUAACCUAACUAUUUAAAGAUAAAUAAAGUUUAAUCAGAUAAAUAAAAUAAAUUAUAAUAAUAAUAUAAAUCUGACAAGAACUCCAUUGAACAACUUUUAGUGUGGAAGAAAUUCUUAGCAUUGAAUUUAUAAUCCUACCGUUUCACAAAGAUAGUUUUUUAGUAUUUUUACAUAUAUUAAAAAACAUAUUAAAUCACUAUAAUAAAUAUAUUGUUUUCUAUAAUUUUCAAAUUUUGAUAAUUUUUAAGUAAUAGUAAAUUAAUAAAGUCAAAUAAUUUUUUUAAAAAUUACAAUUUUUUCAUAGAAAAUACAAAAAAACAAUUUUUGUAAAACAAUUUUUUUCUCUAAAACAUCUAACUUAAUGAAACGGAGGAAAUAGUUUAUAAAACCACUUCUUCAAAGCAAAUUAUUUGUAAAUAUAUGGUAUAUAUAUAUUACUUUUAAUUAGUAUCAAUUGGCUUGUUGCUGUAAAAACAAAUAUUUCUUAUCAACAGUAUUUUGAAGUUAAUUCGUCUUGAAAAAUUGUAGAUUUUCUCACACACACAGCAACAAAAACCCACAAGCAGGCGCUAUAUGAGCUACGCUUUUAAUACUAGUAGUAAAGUAGCUUUAGAUAGCAUGAGAUGAGUAUCUAUCAAUGAUUUACACUUUGGAUCCGGGUUACAUCAGCAAUGACCUCAACAGUAGUAAUAUACAGCUGAGCUGCAGUGUAUGUGUCUCCCCCAUGGUGAAGAAGACAAAAAUAACCUAAUAAAGUAUAUGUUUUUUUGUUGGUGUUAAAAGUAUAGGUAAACAUGCGUAUACUGUAUACAUGUUGCGAACUAUAUAUAUGUCGUACACUGGGUACUUAUGUCACAUGCAAAUUACAAUAAAUAAUUAUGUCAAUAUAUAGAUUGGUGGGUUGCAUUAUCACUGACCUCGGCCUCUGUUCCACACAUCUUGGUCGCCACGGAACCUUUACCUUUUUUGUAUUCUAGUCCAAGAAAUCGCCCCACCAAAGACGUAGUCAUAUCAAAGUCUUCUUAAUCCGAUAUUAUGGCUAUAUAAACACACCCACAUGUUAGACUGAGUAAACAAGAGCACAAUAAUAAAAAAGAUAAAAGAAAAAAAAUGAGAGAAGGAUCUCAUGUUAUCGUCCUGCCUUUCCCUGGACAAGGCCACAUAACUCCAUUGUCCCAGUUCUGCAAGCGCUUAGCCUCAAAGGGUCUUAAGCCCACUCUUAUCCUCGUCUCCGACAAACCCACUCCGCCUUACAAAAUAGAUAACGAUUCAAUCACUGUCUUCCCCAUCUCCAACGGCUUCCAAGAAGGCGAAGACCCGUUACAAGACCUAGAUGAUUACAUGGAAAGAGUAGAAACCAGCAUCAAGAAACGCUUACCGGAGUUGAUACAAGACAUGAAGCUGUCCGGAAACAUUCCUAAGGCUCUUGUGUACGACUCCACCAUGCCGUGGCUUCUUGAUGUAGCUCAUGAUCAUGGUUUGAGAGGUGCCUCGUUCUUCACGCAACCUUGGCUUGUCUCGGCUAUUUACUACCAUGUUUUCAAAGGCUCCUUCACUGUACCGUCUACGAAGUAUGGUCACUCGACGUUAGCAUCUUUCCCUUCGUUUCCUAUGCUGAAUGCGAAUGAUUUGCCUUCUUUCCUCUGCGAGUCGUCCUCUUACCCUAAUAUACUACGGGUUGUGGUUGAUCAGCUCUCAAACAUUGAUCGUGUCGACAUAGUGUUGUGCAACACUUUCGAUAAAUUGGAAGAAAAGGUAACGAAUAUUUAUCCACAUAGGAACAUGUCUAUGUCUGAUGAGGAAAAAUAUCCAAAUUAAAGCAUAUAUUUCAAAAUUAUUUUAUCAACUGUUAUCCAACAAAAUUUGUUAGAGCAUAUCAUUGGUUGGGUUUUCAAUAAAACUUCCUUUUUGACAAUCUCAAAUUAACACAUGUUUUAAUGUUGGAGAAACUCUUAUCACACAUAUUACUAUCAUAUUAUUUAAAUUAAUUGAUGUUCUUAAAUUUAAUAAAAAGAAAUUUCUCUAGCCUUGUUUUUUUUAUCUUAUUCAUUUAUGUGAUUUUAUCAUUAAUUUUUUUUUCUUAGUUGUUGAAAUGGGUCAAAAGCAUGUGGCCAGUCUUGAACGUAGGACCAACG
This 51253-nucleotide long non-coding RNA is filed under the name Brassica rapa (field mustard). RNAcentral's name for it is "long non-coding RNA (BRAP_LNC006202)". The record is from RNAcentral. Lineage: Eukaryota; Viridiplantae; Streptophyta; Magnoliopsida; Brassicales; Brassicaceae.